Molecule: long non-coding RNA, 53037 nt
Filed under: Setaria viridis
Lineage: Eukaryota; Viridiplantae; Streptophyta; Magnoliopsida; Poales; Poaceae
Description: long non-coding RNA (SVIR_LNC009932)
Source: RNAcentral
ACUAGUUGUUAGGCAUGGACAAAAUUGGAUUUGUCAAUGGUGCUGGCGUCGACGAGGACUCGACUUGCUUGCACGCACAAUCACUGGUCUACGCCUACAAUGUCACCAUGGCCGUCAAGGCGGCUGUCAAGCUCGGCCUCCUCGAUGAGCUCAGCGCGGCCGACGGCCGCGCCGUUACCGCCGACGAGCUCGCCGCGAAGGUUGUCCAAGCAGAGGACAAGACCGUCUCGGCUGCCUGGAUUGGCCGGAUCCUCAGGUUUCUCGCGUCCUUCGACGUCGUGAGGUUCUCGGCCGAGAAAGGUGCCGACGGUUCGGUGCUCUGGCGGUACUCGCCGGCGCCGGCAUGCCGCUGGCUCACCAGAAACAAUGGCGACGGGUCGCUUGGCCCAAUGUCGGUGUUCGCCGUCGACGAGGACAACUUGUCGUCCUGGUGCGUUCUAAGUUCUAACUUCAUCAUACGUACUGUUAUUGUGACUGCAAAAAUGCCUCUCUGAAUCUUAAAUACUUUUCAUGAAGGCAUUACAUAGCCGACGCGGUUGCCGGGGGCGUCAAGCAAACGCCGUUCGAGCUUGCCCAUGGGGGGACGCCGGCGUACGAGUACUUUGGAAAGACCCCACGUCUGAGCACGCUGUUCGACCAGGCCAUGGCCCAGCAGUCGCUGCUGGUGAUCAGGAAGCUGCUCGACCACCCCAAAGUGUUCGCUGGCGUUGGAGUCCUCGUCGACGUUGGAGGCGGCACCGGUGCAACCCUAGCGGUGAUCAGAGACCGGUACAAGAACAUCAGGGGCAUCAACAUGGACCUGCCUCACGUCAUCUCUGACGCUCCGUCACUUCCAGGUAGCCCUCGUCUAUAGGAAUGGUACUUGUGUCCAUGAUGUACUUGCGUGCUUAAGUUUUUUGUUUUUUCUCACUGCAGGCGUGGAACAUGUAGCUGGGGAUAUGUUUGAAAGCGUACCCUCCGGAGAUGCAAUUCUGAUGAAGGUUUGUUUGAAUGCUGUUAGAUUUCAUGUACUUUGCUCUUGGUUUUACGCCAUUAUUACAUGUGACUAGUGCGUGCAUGUGCAGUGGAUGCUCCAUAUGAUAAGUGACGAGGAGAUCAUCCGGAUACUCAAGAACUGCCACAAAGCUCUCCCGGAUAACGGGAAGGUGAUCGUCAUUCAGAGUGUCCUGCCGGAGACCCCAGAGUCGACUCCAGCUUCGCGAGAUUCGUUCACCAUGGACAUCAUCCUUCUCGUCAACUUCAUGGGAGGAAAGGAGAGGACCGAGCAGGAGUACGCCAAGCUUGCCAGGGAUGCAGGCUUUACCGGUGGCUUCCAGUCAACCUACAUCUUCUGCAACAUUUACGCUCUUGAAUUUACCAAGUAGACACCCAUGUUUACUGGUGGUUGUGGUAAAUUAGAGCUUGCGUGCUCCUGCAGUCUGUAUUUUAAGCUUUCGAAUAAAACAAGCAUCCUCUUGGUGAUAAUGACAUUGGGGACUUCAUGGGUGUGAUUGAUCCUCCUUUUUUGAUGUUUAGUUGAAUAGUAUGUUAUUCCACCCAUUGAAAUAAAUAUUGUUGCCGGCUUGUGUAAUCACUACUGGAAAACCGACCUUCCAUCCAACCCCUUUAGUCCCGAUUAACAUUGCACCCGUGACUAAAGCAAUUGGGGACUUCAUGGGUGUGAUUGAUCCUCCUUUUUUGAUAUUUAGUUGAAUAACAUGUUAUUCCACCCAUUGAAAUAAAUAUUGUUGCCGGCUUGUGUAAUCACUACUGGAGAACUGACCUUCCAUCCAACCCCUUUAAUCCCGGUUACCUAGUUAACAUUGCACCCGUGACCAAAGUUCUUUUAGUCCCGGGUCAAAAGUGUGCCACUGAAGAUCACCACGGGGGGCGGGGGGGGGGGGGGCGCGGGGGAGGGGAGCUUUAGUCCCGUUGGGAUUACCAACCUGGAUAAAAGGGGGGGUCUUUUGGGACAAAAGGGGUGGUAUUUUGUCCCGGUUGGAUUUUCCAACCGGGACAAAAUGUCCUCUCCUAUAAACUCCCUGGACCGAGAGGUCGUCUUCCUCCCUCAGCCCGAGCCACUCCACUCCACCAGAGACAUUUGGCCUUUUAUCCACGGCGAGCAAGCAACCUUAGGGGAGGUGCUGCCCGAAUUUUUUUCCUCAUUUCCAUGAGGAUUUCACUCAUCCAAAGUAUUUGGGAGGUUAGGUACUUCAUCCUCCCUUCAUUUAUUGUUAUUAUGCUUUAUUUUAUGCUUUAGAGAGGGAGAAAAAUGAGUUUUUUAGAAUGAGGGAGAAUGGAGAGGAUUUUUGAGCUAGAAUUUGAUGGAUAGCUUUCUCAUUAUAUAUGAUUCGUAUUAGUUAAAAGAAAUUGAUCAAUAUUAGGUAUGAGAAAAAAAUAGAGUAAAUGUGUUUUUAAUAUUUAGUCAUUGCAAUAAAAUUAAGGUAAAUAAAUUGUAGGUGUAAGAGAUUAGAAUAGUAAGGAUUAUGAUAUACCACCGUACAAACCAAAUAGUUGAAACAGCAUAGUAAUGAUGGAGCUCAUGAAGUACAAACCAAAUGUUCUUCUCCAUGCUAGUAAAGCUACAGAAUGAUGUGGUACACAGAGCCAACCGACUAGAGUAAACGCUCGCAUGUGAUCCGCCCUGAUUGCAAAACAACAAGCUACGCAUAGUACUCUCGUGUGUCCACUCGGAUACGCUCGCAAUAAUGCAGGCACAAAGGAUAAAGGCACAGUGUUCUUGUACAUCCUCUCGGGCACGCUCGCAAUAAUACGGAGAAAAAGGACGACUACUUCCAUUGCGAGGCUACGAGUAGUAAACUACUAUAGACUACUCAUCAGCCAAGCUCACAAGUAGCUCGCAGAUACAACUCCUGCCCAGUCAGCAAGAAACAAUGCUCAACAAAGUACUAAGGAUCAUCACAGCUGCACUAGUCAGAAACUGCAAUACAAUAUUUUAGUUCGUUCAAAACAUCAUUGUUCAAAGACACAAGUUCAAGAGCAGUUACAACCAAAAGAACCCUAGGAGACUACUCUAGGUUGAUGAAUUUGGCUACUUCCUCAGCUAUAGGUUCCAAUUCUUCCAAGUAUUGCUGAUAAGUCUCGUCAGAGAAUCCACAGCAACACCCUCCACCACUAAAGACAGGUCAGCCUUUGGAAAGAACAACUUGAUGAAUCCCAGGAGUUGCUUGGACAUCGACUUGGCCAUGCCUUGGACUAGGCUAUUAAUCUUCGCCAGCGCAUCCCUGAUCCUCUCCAGCAGGGGACGAGGCUCUACUCCUUCCUCAGGGGGUGUCGGGCAUACACCCCAGGUCCACGAGUAGGCCUUGGACGGCCCACCAAGGGAUGUACUCGGACAAGAUCGGAACAAGGAUGGGCGUAUCCUACUCGGACUAGUCAAGUAUGUUUAUGGAAAACUACUCGGGCCGUUACCGAGUAGAACUGUGUAAUAGUACCCGACUAGGACUCAGACUUGUAACCCUGCCCUCCUGUGUAUAUAAGGGCGGGCAGGGACCCCCCUCAAGGGGGGACGAGAACAACUCCAGUUCAUCAAAUACAAACCAACACACAAGACGUAGGGUAUUAUGCGAUCUAGCGGCCCGAACCUGUCUAAAUCGUGUUCCUUGCGUCACUAUUGAUUCCUUGAUUCCCGACGACCCUUACCGCAUAAAAGACCACCUAGGGUACCCCCUAGGCGGGUUGCUGGUCUAAAACACCGACAGCUGGCGCGCCACCUUCGUUUUCAGAUCUUGGUUUUGCAUAUGGAGUAGCCCUUGAGCCUUAGGUUGAGUCGAAGAGUCAGGCUUAGGGUCAAACCAGCUUUUGUCCAUUUUACCCUUGGAGAUCUUGGGAAAAAAAGAAAAAACUGACCAACGGGUACGGUACCCGCAGCCCCCGAGCACUUAGGCGAUCUCUGUCGUUGAAGUGGUCAGCAGUCCGUUGAAAAGAGUAGCCGUUGAGUGUUAAAGGUGAUUAAUCUGCAAUUAAUCUGUCCGUUCCACAACUGACGCAUGGAAACCGGAGCUGGCAGAGAUAAAAGUGGAAGGUACCCUUUCGGUUGGUUUUAUGCCGUACGGUAAUCAGAUCUGUUUUUCUGGCUCCCCUGUUCUUCUGCUCACAUUUGCGCCGCCGUAAGUGCCACCACCGCCAUUGUCGUCCCUUGAGGGAGAUCCGAGGGAGAGUGUCAUUUUAGCUUGAAGUUGAGUCCGUCGGAUGCGCACUAAGAAGAUGGGCAAGAAACUCGAGAAGAUCCAGGGCCAGGCUCCGGCGAUGGCCUUGUGGAACUCCAAGUUGGAUGGCAGGGUGACCACCGGUGUUUGAGUACCUUCCGCAAGAUGAGGAGUUGUACCCAAAAUGGCACCUACAUCAUUUAUCGUCAGUCAACCGCCUGCUACGACUACAGUAACAAGACUACAAAAACAUACCUGGAGCAGUUGCUUCUUUGGUUUUUUCAACACUCACUACGGCCAGUGAUCCGCCAGUAGAUGCGGAUAAGGCAGCACUUGCGGAACCCGAUGCAGCGGCGGGAACUUCCGCCGAAUGGAUGACAUCUUGAAGCAUCGACAUGGUAGCUCCAAGAUGACCGGAGUCAACCCCGGGCACCUCCUCAACGAUCAAAAUCCUCAAAAGGAGCAGAUAGUAUAGUCGGGGGAUCCGACCCUACCCCUGCCUCAACAGGGAUAGUUUCUUCCGCAUACCUGCAUCAAGACAAGUCAUUAGACGACUUCAAAAUGACUUAAAGAUAUACACCGGGUAAUGUAAGCUCACCGAGUCGAACAUGGCGGAAGUCGCACACGUUUCUUCUCGACAACAGGUGGCCGAGUAAUUGGCGCCGCUGGAACAGCCACCGGCAUUGUCUUCUCGCCAAGACCUGUGAAGCAAAGGUCAAGACUACAAAUCCACUCGGAUCAACGAAUCCAGCCGAGGCAGAACACUUACCACUGGCGAUCACACUGGACAGCAAAGAACCAGUAGCGAGUACUAGCGACACUUCCUUUACAACACCCGCUGAUUCAGCAGGUAACCCCAGGACCACCUGGUUAGCAAUGGGCGGCAUGACAACCGAUGGAGUCGGCGCAGAUAGCUCGGGGGCUACUCCAGUUUCUGUUGAUGGCACCUUCUCUGGCACCAUGUCAACAGAUACAUUACCGACUUCUGGGUCGGUCACGACCAUUUCUUCAGAAACAGCCUCAUCAUCACCAAGCGUCGUAUCUACAGCCUUUACGAACAAAACAAAAUUCGUCGCAUCAAUAGCAAGUUCAAAUUCAUCAGCUACAGAUACGUUCACGACUACAUACCUUUGUACCCCGAGACUUCUCAGGGGUUGAAGCAGACUUAGCCGCAGACAUCUUGCGGACUACUCUACGUCUCUUGACAGGAGGAGAAGGCUCGUCCUCCGACUCCUCAGCAACAGCUUCUGACUCUUCUUCCGACUGUGCCAAGUAGCCGGCAAGAACUCGAGACUACAAACAACAAGUCGGUAUCAACAACAAAUAUCACAUAAGUCAAAAGAAAACAAGUCAGGUGCAAAAGACAUACCACUUCUGGCUCAUACCAGACGUCAUACUGACGCAGAGCCGCAGGGAUUACUGGUACUCCCUGGUAGUUCCUGAAAAACUUGGCCAGCAGCGCCUCUACAUCAUCAUCCGAUAUAUCCUCAUCGGACAUACGCGAUGGAUCUUUAAGACCCGUGUACUCACUUCCCGAGUGAGCACGUUUUUGAAGCGGCUGAACUCUUCUCUUCAGAAAGCUGGCCGCCACAUUAAUCCCAGUCAGCCCGAGUGCCUUCAACUUGGUGAUUUGCUGCAUCAGGUGGUCUAGCUCGGGAGUAUCUUCAGGUUCGCUCACCCAGUAUUCUGCAUGCUUGGGCACGUGACCAGUCACCACAAGCAAGCGAGGUUCAUGGUUCCCGAUGUAGAACCACCUUUUUUUCCACUCCCCAUGGGAGUCAGUCAGAUUAUACUCAAUAUAUGCGCCCGAGUUCCUGAGUUGGAACCCGGCGCCUCCAAAGACUUCUGUCCUAUGGACACUAGGCUGCGGCUUACAGCGGAACAAUUUCCUAAACAACUCGAUACUCGGAGGAACUCCCAAGUACACUUCGCAGAGGUGUACGAAAAUUGACAUAUGCAGUACACCAUUGGGGUUCAAAUGGACAAGUUGGAGUUUGUAGAACUCGAGGAUACCUCUGAAGAAGUUGGAGGUGGGCACCGCCACCCCCCUCUCCACAAAGUGCGCGAGCAUCACUGUCUUGCCUGGAUGCUCCUCAAAUUGCCAUGCAUUGGGAAAUGCGAGGCGCCACUCCAUAAUUUCUUUCGGCUGAAGAAGCUUCGCAUCGACUAGUGCUUGAACGGCCUCCUCCUUCAUCACUGAAUGUUGCCAGGUUGCCCCAGGCGGCAGCGGUGCAGUCUGGUUCAUCGGCCCCACCUUCGGUGCCGGCAGCACCAGCUCCUUCACCUUCUUGGAUUUCGCCUUGCCCAUCGCCGGAGCCUGGCCCUGAAUCUUCUCGGGUUUCUUGCCCAUCUUCUUAGUGCGCAUCCGACGGACUCAACUUCAAGCUAAAAUGACACUCUCCCUCGGAUCUCCCUCAAGGGACGACAAUGGCGGCGGCGGCACUUACGGCGGUGCAAAUGUGAGCAGAAGAACAGGGGAGGCAGAAAAACAGAUCUGAUUACCGUACGGCAUAAAACCAACCGAAAGGGUACCUUCCACUUUUAUCUCCGCCAGCUCCGGUUUCCAUGCGUCAGUUGCGCAAUGGAUAGAUUAAUUGCAGAUUAAUCGCCUUUAACACUCAACGGCUACUCUUUUCAACGGACUGCUGACCACUUCAACGACAGAGAUCGCCCAAGUGCUCGGGGGCUGCGGGUACCGUACCCGUUGGUCAGUUUUUUCUUUUUUUACCAAGAUCUCCAAGGGUAAAAUGGACAAAAGCUAGUUUGACCCUAAGCCUGACUCUUCGACUCAACCUAAGGCUCGGGGGCUACUCCAUAUGGAGUGCGAUUGACAUCGCACUACCAUAUAAAAUUACUCGGGAUGGAAACAACUCGAAGGAGCAAAAAGAGUACCUUCCAGCCACGCGACAGUACUCAAGCACUUCAGUCUGCAACCUCUAUGACUAGCUACUCGGAUAGUGCCCGCAGUGCUAGACUGUGGCGCAAGACUACAAAGUACUCUAGGGCUUGUCAGGCAUACACCCCAGGUCCACGAGUAGGCCUUGGACGGCCCACCAAGGGACGUACUCGGACAAGAUCGGAACAAGAAUGGGCAUAUCCUACUCGGACUAGUCAAGUAUGUUUAUGGAAAACUACUCGGGCCGUUACCGAGUAGAACUCUGUAAUAGUACCCGACUAGGACUCAGACUUGUAACCCUGCCCUCCCGUGUAUAUAAGGGCGGGCAGGGACCCCCCUCAAGGGGGGGACGACAACAACUCCAGUUCAUCAAAUACAAACCAACACACAGGACGUAGGGUAUUACGCGAUCUAGCGGCCCGAACCUGUCUAAAUCGUGUUCCUUGCGUCACCAUUGAUUCCUUGAUUCCCAACGACCCUUACCGCAUAAAAGACCACCUAGGGUACCCCCUAGGCGGGUUUCCGGUCUAAAACACCGACAGGGGGCUCCACCAUGUCCGCGAAUGGCUGUACUACAUCUGACAACCGUUGGAGUUGUUCUUGUUGCGACUUGAUAGUAGUCAUGGCCUCAACUAGGCUAGUAUCACCAUCCAGCCGCAUCUUCUUCUCCUUCUCCAACUAAGCCUUAUGCUCUUCAUUAUCCUCCGACACCCGAUAGUAGGCGUUCUUCCAGUUGGUUACGGUACAUAAACCUAUGGUUCAUUAAGUUAAUUUUAGAAAAAGAUUUUAAUGCCUAAUAAAUUCACAAAGAAAAAGAUUUUAAUGCCUAAUAAAUUCACAAAGAAAAUGAUCUCAAACAAAUUCUAGAGAAAUUAUAAUUAAUUUUUAUCAACUUGCAAAUGAUGAAUAUUAGGGUGUUAAAAACCUACCCCUUUAAAAUGAAUCUCGUCCUCUAGAUUCAGAUGGGCUGGCAAUGAGUUGAGAAAAUUCUGCCUUCAGCUCAUUGUCUCGUUGCCAUGUAGCUUCAUCUUCUGAAUGAUAACUCCAUUGUACCUUGCACAUCCUGAUUACCUUGUUCCUUGUAAUCCUUUCCAAUGUCUCCAAUAUUUUAACUGGAUACUCAGUAUAGGUUGAGUCAUCCUGCACAUUCAGCUCUCCCAUAGGCAAUUGCUCCUCUGGUACUCUUAAGCACUUCUUCAGCUGAGAUAUGUGAAAGACAUUAUGGACAUCUAAAAGUUGAGUUGGUAACUCUAACUGAUAUGCCACUUCUCCUCUUCUUUCCAAUACCUUGAAUGGGACAAUGCAGGGAGGUUCUAACUUUCCUUUGACCUUGAAUCUCCGUAAUCCUCUUAUUGGUGAUACCUUCAAAUAAACAUAAUCACCUACUUCAAAGAUCAAUUCCCUAUGAUGGGUAUCAACAUAGCUCUUUUGCCUCAAUUGUGCAGUUCUCAAAUUCUCCCUAAUGACUUGCACUUUACUUUCUGCAUCACGUAUGAUCUCUAACCCAAACAAUUGUCUCUCUCAAGUUUCAUUCCAGAAUAAUGUCUGCACCUCCUUCCAUACAGAGCUUCAAACGUAGCCAUCUUGAGACUGGCCUUGUAACUGUUGUUAUAAGAGAACUCUGCAUAAGGUAAACACUUAUCCCAACUUUUACCAUACUGGAGAGCACAGGUUCGCAACAUAUCUUCCAAUAUCUGAUUGGUCAUCUCUGUCUAACAAUCCGUCUGAGGAUGAUAAGCAGAACUAAAGUUCAACCUUGUGUCCAUAGACUCAUGUAACUGCUGCCAAAAUCUUGAUGUGAACUGUGUACCUCUGUCUGAUACAAUCUUCUUAGGCACUCCAUGUAGGUAGACAAUUCUGGACAUAUACAACUCUGCUAAUCUAGCUCCCGUGUAAGUGGUCUUGACUGGUAUAAAGUGAGCAACUUUGGUCAAUCUAUCCACUAUAACCCAUAUAGAAUAAUAUCUAACAUGUGUGCGAGGAAAUCCCACAAUGAAAUCCAUACUAAUCUCCUCCCACUUCCACUGGUAUUUUCAAUGGCUGAAGCAAUACUGCUAGCCUCUGGUGUUCAGCUUUAACUCUUAGACAGGUAUCACACAGAACAACAUACUGAGCAACAUCUCGCUUCAUACCAUACCACCAAUAUCGUUCCUUGAGAUCUUGAUACAUCUUAGUACUACCGGGAUGAAUGGAGUAGGCGGAAUCAUGGGCUUCCCUCAAUAUCAGCGCCUUGAGAGGUUCCAAAUCUGGCACACAGAUUCGAUUUCAAAGCCAAAGCGUUCCUUGAUCAUCUAUCCUGUAGUUAGGUGCUUUCCCUUUCUUCAUUAGUUGUUUAAUUUCUUUGAUCUUGGCAUCCUCAAGCUGGCCUUUCCGUAUCUCUUGUUCCAAGGUAGGUUCCACUUCCAUAGUUACUGCUUCUGUAUGAGCAACUACUCCAAGGUUGAGCCUAUCAAAUUCUUUAAACAACUCCUCAGGUAACUGGUGUACUAGAGCCAUGUUAACAUGUCCCUUUCGACUCAAAGCAUCUGCUACAACAUUCGCUUUGCCAAGAUGAUAAUGUAUCUCCAGAUCAUAGUCCUUGAUCAACUCCAACCAACGGCGCUGUCUCAGAUUGAGGUCCUUCUAAGUGAAGAUAUACUUCAAGCUCUUGUGGUCAGUGUAGAUCUGGCAUCUGGUUCCCAGGAUGUAUUGCCUCCAAAUCUUUAAAGCAUGAACUUCUGCUGCUAACUCCAAAUCAUGAGUAGGGUAAUUCUGCUCAUUCUUCCUCAAUUGCCUAGAGGCAUAGGCUAUAACAUGUCCUUCUUGCAUAAGCACACAACCAAGGCCUUAACGAGAUGCAUCAUAAUAAAUAUCAAAACUCUUGUGAAUAUUAGGCAUCACUAGCAUUGGGGCUGUAGUCAACCUCUUCUUCAACUCUUCAAGAUAUUUAGUGUAGUAAAAUAAUUGUUUUCUAAAUAAAAUUCAAAGAAUCAUAUGUUAUAUUUUGUAUGUUACAUUCGUGCUGCUGCAUAUAAAUUUUGGUUGCUUAGCAUAAUUUAUUAUCAUUGUUCCUGGAUUUGAUCAGGGUUAACAUAUCUUUUGCUUCAGCUAUCUGAAUUUAUGCCAAUAGGAAAUACCCAUUUCUUCUAUUUUUCUUAUUCCUUUUAUCUCCUGCUUGCAUGGUUAGGCCUACUUGUUAGCACCGGAACUAACAAAUAUCUCAUUGUUAAUAACGAUCGUGCAUUGGGCGUUUCAAAAAGCAAUCAAGAGUUCAUGAAGGUCUUGUGCAGAGUAUGGAAACUCAUCCGGGUCCUGGUUCAUUAAACUAUUGCAGCAUUCUCAUCCGGGUCCUGGUUCAUUUUAAGUUUACUCGAGGUCCAACCACGGACCUCAAUUUACACGUGAAAUGAGCCACUUUAAAAGUUGAGGGACUCAAAUGAUCUCUUUGAAAAUUCACUCGAAUAGGAAUAAAGCAGAGAGUCGUCACCUCAGACUUAAUGCACGAUGUCUGAGCGCCCACCUUACCUGGCCAGGUCACUGGUCCUGCCCUCGUGGUUCACGCGCUAUGAUGUGGCAUGCAGACAAGCUAUGAUAUGCCAUCAGUGGUCAGUACACAAAUCUACCAGUCGGAUCCAAGGGGAGGCAUUUGCAUGUGCUCACACACGGGCGCCCUACAUCCCGCCACAGACAAAACGUGUACAAAGGCUAUUGUUGCUAGCUCAAUUUUUUUUUUCUUUUGACCUGCAUUGCACGUGGAGCAUGUAUAAGCCCUCAAAUCGAGCAACACUAUUACAGACAGCUCACACAAUGACAGUCACUGUCAAGCAUCAAUUGCUGAAUUAUGAGCUGAGCAACCAGGACAAGCUUAUUCGAAAAAAAAAACAACAGGACCAGCUUAUGAUGUGCCAGUCAGAUGCUGACCACGUGUACUUGGCUAUUUGCAACUUUUGAUCACUGCCAAAUAGGAUUUGUAACACCAGUCUGUCUGUUGGAUCGAAGGGGAGGCAUGCGCAGCAUCUUGCAUUGCAUGUGGACUCACUAGCGCGCCCACGUUGAACUUGUGUGAUGGCAGAACCGCAAGCACUGACGACGGGACAUUCUUAUUUUUGCUUAUUUACUUCCAUCCAUUUGACGUGGUGCAUUCGUAUAUACAUAUCUUACCUAGGUGACCGUCGAUAGUGAAGCAUCUAUGCCUACUUUAUCAAUCUUAAAAUCUACCGACCUACUCUUUCGAAUGUUUUUACAUAGGUAAGUUUGGAAGCUGAGGAAGCAAGGCAUCUCACCUCUUUUCCUUCCUAUUAAUAAAGCGAGCAACGUUUCUACCAAAAAAUUUUGUAUGUCACCGCCUAAUUUAAUUUUAGUUAUUCAUUACAUUAUUAUAUCCACGCAGCCAGGGCUUUCACGCCUGUCCGAGCCCAAAACAGCCCUAGCACCUAUUCCAGUCGGCACACGCCACAUGAUGGCAUGAGGCGCACAUAUAUACUCCAUCCAUCCAAUGAAAAGUGACAUUCUAGCAUUUAAAAAAAUCACAUAAAAGAGUGCAAUCCAAAGAAUUAGAUGUAGUUGCCUAAUCAUGUGGUUAUUUAAUUUGCAUGCCAAAAUUUACUGCAUGGGGUCAAUAAAUUUGGUUAUGGGUGCCUUUUCACACCACCACUAAUCUAUCUGGAAAAAAUUGCACCUUUUCACUCUACAGUGAGAGUAGCAUGUAGGGGCUAUAGGCAAAAAAAUCACAUGUCGCUUUCAACAUAUGCAUCCCGUCCUCUAUUUUCUCCAUCCUUUCUCAGUCUUUCACAGGGAUAGGACACCAGGGACCCGACACCAUCCAUAUCGAUUUCAUGUUAUUAAUAUUUAAUUUAUGAAUGGUUGUUGAAACUAUAUUGUUAAUAUUUUUAUACAUAAUUGAAGAUCUAUUUUUGAUAUAUUUUUUGAAAUAUUCUAAAAUCUUAAAUUCACACGUCUAGAGAUGUACAGUUCGUUCAAUCUCACGUUUUUCAGAUAAAAAUUAACACAAAGAGACUGAAAAGGGAGAGAUGUGAGAGGGAAAGUGAAAUUAGGGCCCAAGGGGUGAAGUUAGGAUUCCAGGCGAGCUGUAUGCCCUUGCUUGAAACUUUUUGGUAGCACAAAAAAACAUGAAAUGUCUAAUAUUUGCAAUGUUAAAAAUAAAAUAAUAUAUUCACUUGACCUUUGUCCAUAGCUAGUGGGACAUAAUGCACGACGCCUGAGCGUCCACCGGGCCUGCCCUCGUGGUUCACGCGCACCAGGACGGCAGACGUACAGGCUAUGAUGUGCAGCAGUGGCUCAGAUGGCUCAUACAGGCCCUCAAAAAGAUUGCUGCCUCACCUCAUCAGCUGCAAGACUGCCAUUGGACAUGGCCCAGUAAUUCAGAAGCGAGCAGUGGAGACAGGUCAAACAACGACAGUCACUGUCAGGCAUCAAUUGCUUAUGAGCUGAGCAACCAGGACAAGCUUACGGUGUGCCACUCAGAUGCCUAACAACUAAAAAAUGACACUAAGAGAGUAAAAUAAAAUAACUAAAAUGUGCUUGACCGUUUGCAACUUUUGGUCACACAAAUAGGAUUUGUAACAACACCAAUAUAUCUGUCGGGUCGAGGGGAGGCGCAGCAUGUUCAUUGCAUUUGUGGAGGCUCGAGAGCGCCACUACUACAUAAAAAAACGUUUUUACCACCAGCUAAAUUUGCAUUUAUGAUCGCCGAAACUUGGCCCGACUUUUCGAAUUAAAAUUAGACAUCUGUGGGGGUGGGACACAGUCCGGUCCAGCAUAUACAUUUGCAGGGGCGGGAUACCUCGUCACCCUGCACUGAAAACUGAUUAAAAAUAAAAAAUCUAGGCCGCAGUGUCCUCCUGCGUUGUCGGCCCAUGCACACUGCAUGCACAAGCCAAACGCCGCCGAGGAGGGACCUAGCGCCGAAGGCCGAGUCGCAGCCAUGUGGGGGAGAGAGAAGGUACAAUAAGAAUGGAGGAUGGGCGGGGAUGGUAUAAAGGAGAAGGCUGCACGCAGGGAAAGUACAAAGGAGGAUGGGUAGGGAUAUAUAGUAUAAUGAGAAGGUUGAGUGCCGGGGAUCGCUAAAAAGUCAGUAACCCUCGAACUUCGGCCUAACCUCGAACUUCGGCCUAACCUCGCAAGUUGCGUGUCGGCAGCAAGGAAAGGGGAGCCCCUUUAACCUCGCAUGUUCUGUGUGAGGCACCUCGAAGUAAAUCUCGUAUCCUCACGUUGCCUCUACCCCCGGAAGGACUCGAGGGUAGUGAUUGACAACAAUAAUGACUAACUUCCAUUGGAUUAACCCUCAAGUGUUCGGAGUUGGUUUCGGACACCGAGUUUUCAUCCUUGUACUAUUUACUCAGGAAUGAUGCUCGAGUAUGAACUGCUCGAGGUUAAGACCUUUCGUCAGGACUUUGCGAAGCUGAAGCCUCAAGGCUACGUGCCCAGCUUAGGAUGUGAAUGAAGCCUCGAGGCUAGAUGACUAGCUCAGGAUGCAGUUGAAGUCUCGAGGUUAACGGGUGGAAGGCAUGAGAAACAUGAACAUGUGGAGAAGUUUAAUUUGUACACAUGUUCCCUAAUGACCUUUCUGAACGGCAUAUCCUAAGAAUAUAGUGGUUGAACAAGGGUACUUUCGGAAUAUAAAGUAGGCCAUGAGUCAUAAUAAAAGGGUAGCCCUACCCUAUUGUAAAGGGAGAUCAGUUUUUCCAAUUGAGAAGUGUGCAUUGUUCUCUUUGUAAUCCUAAAUCUGUUCGGUAUCAAUUUCAUUUGAGACCAAUAGGGCGCCCACCGUGAUUUUAGCCGCAAAACAACCCAUGAUGCGACAAACGAAGAAAAAGAAGACUGCACCACAGGGAGCCGCUGAGGGUGAAAGAGAGAAUCCUGUGGCUCAAGAAAGAAGACUUGUCCCUAUUGAUCAAAAUGAUACAGAUACUAUAGAGAAGUUAAAGAGAGUCAAGGCUAACUGAAGAACAAGAAGCGAAAACAAGAGCUGAGGUAGAAGUAGCAAAUCUAGCACAACCCGAGUCAAGCACAAGAAACGAUCAAUUCAGUGCAGCAGAAAAGGAGUUGGCCUUGGUGCUAAGGCAACUCGAAGCUCUAAACCAAGAAAAAGAGAAGUUUGCUCAAGAACUAGAAGCCCAACAUCUACCAGCCCAAAAAAUAGCAAAACUAAAUUAAGCAAAACAACAGUUGGCAGAAUUGCAAGAAGAGUUGGAUGAGUUGAAAUAUUUACAAAAUACGCCACCACAAUCAUCACCACCACCUUCGAGGCAGUAACCUGUCAUGAACACAGCAAACAUUCCGCAAAUGGAUCCUAACCUCGCUGGGCACAACGUUCAAUGGGCAAAAUGACCCUCGUCAAAUCCUCAUGAGCCACGAGGCUACAGUAGCAUCAGCUGAAGGAGAAGACGUAGUCUUAGCCAAGUCCCUAAUCAUAGCCUACGAGGGUGCCGUGCUGAACUAGUACUUAUUACUUCCACUGCAGUUAGUAUACAGCUAGAUCGAUCCCAAAACAAAGCUUAUACAAAACUUCCAAGGCUUCCAUCGUGCAACAACAGACUUGGGUGACUUGUUCCAUUGCGUCCUGAGAGAUAAAGGACCUCUAGCCAAUUAUGUCAAAAGAUUUGUACAAUUGAAGUCACAAACCCCAGAUGUGGAUGAAAGCAUAGCCAUAGUAGCAUGCAUCAAAAGGCUACACACAAGGCCCGACAGCCUCGCACAUAACAAGAGAAAAAUCCAAAACCAUGGAAGCUCCGUUCAAGUUGGAAAAAUACUGCAGGUCAGACGAGGACCAUAGGAAAAGAGUAAUGGAGAGGAAUCGCCAAAGGCAAAUCCAAAAAGAUCAGAAUUGGCCAGCCCUAAAAUACAAUUUCACACAGCAUCAACGGCCAUAUCUAGCUCAACAUGUGCUACCGAUCGAGAGUGCUCAACCCUCACAACAACAAAGCCAAAAUCGGAAUGGGCAACCACAACAACAAUAUACAAAUCAUGGCAAUGUGCAGAGAGGAGGCCACUAAGGUAGUGGAAGGGGCUGAGGCAGAGGACCUCCUAGGCCACAAAAUCAAAACAACCAGCCUCGAAUGUUCUAUUGCACAUUUCAUGGCAAACUACUAGAUCACGCAACCGAUUUCUAUCCAGAAACAAAAAAGACCUUCGAAAUGAUAGUAAGGAAAAAAGAGCAGCCGCAGCAGCAUCGCUAAAAACCAUUCACCACACUUCUUUUCUGGCCACAACAGCCAUACUGCCAAGUUUACCCACAAAUAAACACCAACACUAGUCAUACCUUAUAAAUUCAUUUACCAACCCUUCUUUCAAUUACCAACCCACCAUGAUGUGGCAACCAUCGUUGUAGUUUCAAUCUCAAAGUCAGCUAGCCUCGCAAACUGAAAGUUUCGCACCACCUUAGCCUCUGCAAGAAAUACCACAACCUCCGCCAAACCUGCCAAAUCAAAUACCUAAGGUUGAACUCAAGAAUGGCCAAAACAGUAAUCCCAAAGCCCUACCCACCUACGGCAUGAUCAGGCCAAUAUCAAGGGCCUCCUCGCAAGAGUUCGAAAAUGCCCAAAACACCAAAUCCAACGCCUUGCCCACCUACAGCAUGAUCAUGCCAAUAGCAAGUGGAUCUUCACUAGAAUUUGAGAACAAGAAGCAAAGGUAAAAUUACUUCAGACAAAUCCAUUUGAUCAUCCGUGAUGGACCACCAGCCAAGCCAGAAUGGGCACAGAUGCCAAUCUCCUUCACUAAAGAAGACUUCAAACUCAAAACAGUCUCACAUAAUCAUGCGAUGGUAAUCGAGGCUAUUGUUGCAGGAUGGACAAUCAGGAAAGCACUAGUUGACAAUGGAAGCUCAGCAGAUAUCAUGUUUGCAAACACAUUCAUAGAAAUAAAAAUUGAUCCUCACCUAAUACAGCUAGCAGAAAGACCAUUACUUGGUUUUGGUGGAAUGCCAGAGCGAGCCUUGGGGAAAACUACAUUACCAGUAUCAUUUGGAAACCUAGACAAUGCCAGAACGGAACACAUAACAUUCGAUGUUGUGGAAAUGUACUAUCCAUACAUUGCUAUCAUUAGAAGGAGAUUCAUCAACAAGUUUGAUGCUGCAAUAAUGUAGUUGUUCUUGUUUAUGUAGAUCCCAGCUCUGAAAGGAGUUAUCACAAUAAAUGGUGACUAGCAAACAACCAUGGAUAUUGAAAAAGGUGCAACCCCGGGAUAGAAAAAUGUACAUCACUUAGAAAGUUCAAGCGAGGUUGAACCCUCGGAGAAGAAGAAUCAUAUGUCAAGCGAAAAAGAGAUAAAGAAAAGUAAAAAUGACUGCAAAUGGCAAAACAAAAAGAGUACUGCUAGACGAACAUGUCCUCGAGCUGUAAUCAUCGAUGCUACCUUGAGCCCAACGAAGAAGAGCAACUGAUCGCGUUCUGGAAGAAGAACAUGGAUAUCUUCGCAUGGCCUGCAAGGAGUAGACAGAGAUACAAUAGAGCACAAGUAAGAAAUAAACAAAGGUGGGAGACCAAUAGCCAGCCAAUGCCAACGUAAUAUGCGCAGUUAUGUAUCCUGAUCAAGAAGAAAAAUGGCAAAUGAAGACUGUGCAUAGAUUUCACCGACCUCAACAAGGCAUGCCCAAAAGAUGACUUUCCGUUAGAAAGGGUUGACAAGGUGGUAGAUGACGCUGCAAGCAGCAAAAUGUUGUCACUACUAGAUAUGUUUUCAAGUUACCAUCAAGUACAAAUAAAAAAAGAAGAUGAGGAGAAGACGAGUUUCAUCACUCCAUUCGGGACCUACUGUUUCGUCAGAAUGCUCGAGGGUCUCAAGAAUGCGGGGUCAACUUUCACAAGAAUGAUAGCAAUAGUCCUAAGCACACAGCUUCGAAGGAACAUCCUAGCCUAUGUGGAUGAUAUCAUGGUGAAAAGUGACAAACGAAAAGAUCAUAUUCAUGACCUCACAGAAACUUUCGCCAACUUGAGGACAACAAAUCUGAAGCUGAAUCUAGAAAAAUGCUUAUUUGGAAUUAAGUGAGGCGAGGUGCUAGGAUGCCUACUCUCAACCAAGGGCAUCGAGGCUAAUCUAGAUAAAAUUCAAGCUCUUGUCGACAUGAAAGAGUCUUUUUCACUGAAAGAUGUGCAAAAGCUGACAGGAAGAAUAGCAGCCCUUAACAGAUUUAUCCAGAGAGCAGCCGAAAGAAGUCUACCUUGCUUCCAAGUACUGCGGAACUCCAAAAAGUUUGAAUGGGGAGAGUAGAAAAGCAAUGCUUUUGCAGACUAAGAGAUUACUUGACAAGCAUGACGAUGCCCACCCAAACCAAAAUCUCCCUUGUUGUUAUGCUUGUCAGCCUCGAGCUCUGCAGCCAGCAUUGCCUUAGUGCAAGAAAAGGAAAUCAAGGGCAAACCAAGACAAACUCUAGUAUACUUUGCCUCAGAAGCAUUGUCGGGGGCAAAACUGUUCUACUCAGAGCUAGAAAAAAUCGCUUAUGUUGUAAUCAUGGCAGCUCACAAGCUAAGGCAUUACUUCGAGGGCCACAAGAUAGUGGUGGUCACCAACCAGCAGCUUCAUGAUCUUCUCACAAACAGAGAAGCCUCAGGAAGAAUCACAAAUAGAGAAGCCAGUAUGGGCAUCAUAAUUGUCCAAAUACGUGGUGGACUUCGAGAGAAGAAGUGCAAUCAAAUGAUAAGUCCUAGCUGAUUUCAUAGUCGACUGGACAUCACCAUGCAACAAUAAAAAUGAUCAGAUCGAGGUUCCAUGGGUCAUAAAUUGUGACGGGGCUUGGUGUGACAAGGGGGCAGGAAUGUUGGCAAUUAUCACUUCACCCUCAGGCGUCAAAAUCAGAUAUGCCGCAAGGCUCGAUUUCAAGGGCAAGGCAAGGUCCACCAACAACACAACAGAAUAUGAAGCACUACUUAUGGGUCUAAGGAAAAUGAGUGCAUUGGGUUAGCAAGUAUUCAUAGUAAAAUUAGAUUCCUAAGUGAUUUAAGAGAACAUUGAAAAUGAAAGUGAGGCUAGAGAGCCAGAGCUUGUGAAGUACUUAGCCGCAGUAAGAGCCAUGGAAAGGGUUCACCAUUCAGUACAUCCCAAGGGUAGAAAACAAUGACACAAACAAAUUAGCAAAAGCAGCUGCGCAAAAUCAAACCAUGCCACCUGAUGUAGUCUAUGAGGUCAUACACUCCUCAUCAACUAGAGAGCUAGCGCCGAGAGUCGUAAAUGCAAUCACUAGAUUCGAUUGGAGGGCACCAAUCAUGUCCUACCUCAGAGGACACUAUGAGCCUCACGACAAGGUUGAGCUAAAUAGAAUGAAGCAAAGGGCUAGGGGCUACGCCAUGGUUGACGAUGAGCUGUACAAAUCUUGGAUCUUAGCUCCUUGGCUGCGAUGUAUAACUUCGAAGAGUGGGAAAGAACUGCUAGCAGAAAUCCACAAUGGGUUUUGCGGUUCUCAUAUCGAAACCAGAGCGCUAGUAGGCAAAGCCGUGAGAUAGGGUUUUACUUGGCCAAUAGCAAUCCUAUAUGCCCGAAGCUUAGUAAGAACUUGCGAGGCUUGUCAAAAGACAACUAACUAGCAAAAAACACCCUCGCUGCCAUACAACUCAUACCACCAACUUGGCCAUUAAAAAGAGGCGGAAUGGACUUAGUAGGGCCAUUACCAACCGCACAAGGCAACUGCAAGUUCGCAAUAGUAGCGGUUGACUACUUUACCAAAUGGAUCGAGGCUAAGCUACUAGCAAACAUAUCCUCAAGCUCGGUGCAAAAAUUCUUUUGGCAGAACAUCAUCUGCAGGUUCGGGGUUCCUAGGGAACUAACAGUGGACAACGGAAAAUGGUUCGAUUGUAAUGAUUUCAAAGAAUUUUGUGCAAGCAUGGGGACCAAGUUAAAAUUUGCAUCAGUAUAUCACCCACAAUCCAAUGGGGUUGUUGAGAGAGCAAACGGGAUAAUCUUCUCGAGUAUCAAAAAAUGUUUGUACAAUUAGAAAAAAGGGAAGUGGAUUGAUGAACUCCCAAAAGUCAUUUGGUCCCACAACACUACUGCGUCAAGAACAACAGGUUUCAUACCCUUCCGUUUGUUAUACGGCUCCAAGGCUAUGGCUCCAGAGGAAAUAAAGAAUGAAAGCUUCUGAGUACUCAAAAUCGAGGCUUCCUCAGAGAACGAAAAAAAUCGACAAAGACAUGAUUGAGCUUGACAUAUUACAGGUAGUUGAAAACCUCGACAAAUAUCAGCAAGAAACCAAAAAGUGGAGGGAUAUGAAAAUAGUGAAGAAAAAGAUCUAGAUAGGAGACCUAGUAAUCAAAAAGAGAAAGAACUGGGAGAACCUCGGGAGUUGCAAGAAACUUGGGAAGGGCCUUACGUUGUCACUCGAAACAACAGGCCAACAUCCUUUUACCUUGCAGAUCAGCUAGGAGCAGUGUUACCACAUUCUUCGAAUGUGGAUAACUUGCGCAAAUAGUACCCAUAGUCGCCAAAAUUGUAAAAACCCUUGGCCUGUAAGUCUAUAAACAGUGUUGAGGGUAGAAAAUUUACUCCUGCAUUUACUUUCCAGCAAAUGGACCGUACUCUUUUUCUUGCUAGGGGGCUCCACAAUGGAGGCAAGGUUUUUAACAAGGCGGAUCCAUGUAAACCUUUACAUUUUAAUGCAGUACAAUUCCCCUGAAUCUCAUGUUUACUAAGCCUCAAAAGGGCUACUACAUUGCAUUUUUGUGCAAGUAGAAAGCAUUGCAUUCUGUGCAAGCUGAGGCCAAAGCAGCAGCAAGUUGCGGCAAAAUCUUGCAUUUUUGUGCAAGGAAAAACUUGCGUUUCAGCACAAGCAUUGGGUGAAAGCAACAACAAGUUGCAGCACCAACUUUACUUUUCGAAUAACUUGAUCCUUGCAUUUCUGCGCAAGUGAAACCUCGCAUUUCUAUGCGAGAAAAAACUCAUGUUUCUGCGCAAGCGUUAGACAGAAACAACAAGUUGCAGCACCAACUUUACUUCCAAGAAUACCCCGAAUCUUGCGUUUUUGCACAAGCAAAGCCUCGCUUUUGCCAAUACCAUACUCAUCUAAACUACUAUCUAACCUCGCUAGAUUUACAGCUCUAUGAUCGAAGCAACCAAGAGUUGUGAAUUCGACCCGACUUGUCAUUUAACUUUCUAAGUUCGCAAAACUCGGAGCAAGUUUUUGCCUACUUAUUACAUGAAAACUGGUGUAUAAAAAUCCCACAUGAAAGUUAAACACCUCCAGACCUUUUUUACAAAAUCAAUAACUACCGCACGAAAAAGUGUAAAAGAUACAAAGCUUCGAGGAUACCUCUGUCAUCAACCAAAUACGCAAACAGCAUAACCCUCACCAAAAGGAAUGGAAGGGGGGUGACGUUUCUCACUAAAAUCAAAUAUUCCUUGUCGUCUCAGGUUAUGACACUUAGACAGAAAACCCUUUAAAAGAAUAACAAAAUAUAUUUCUCGUAAUAACAUCUUGCAACAAAAAUCUCCGCAAAAAGGAACAAAAGGCGGGGUGACGUUUUCCAAGGAAAAACAACAUUUAUUACUAUAUGCUACGAGUUUCGUUACAAGUGAGAAUGACAAUUUGAUUUACAUGACCAGGUUUCAAACCUUGAAACUCUGCAGCAUCACAUACAUAGGCGAAAUCAAACUCAUGACUUUGUGGACUAAGGGGCUUCGAUUUCACCCUCGAAGCUUCAAAUAUUUUUUCUUCCAUCAUACCAAGUGCAUAACCAUCAUAGGACUCAAAAUAGCGACCCAGCAUAAAGCUUUGCAUGGAAAAGUAUUCACAGCAAAAGCACUAGAAAUCAUGAAAACUAGCGUCGGGAUGAAAAGUACAAAAUAGACACCAAGCAUGACCAUUGGCAACAACAUUUCACAAUGAAAUCGAAGAGGAAGUAUGUCCUGCGUAGGCCCAUCACCUAGGACCUGGUGCAGGUUAAAUUACAACCAACAACUGCUUGAGUUCUCGACCCUAAGCAAUACAUCAAAGAUUAAGUUUCCAAUUAAACCUAGUCUAGAGUCUACACCUCUUGUUGCUCCGAGCCUCCAACCUGGUUCUUUUCCUUCACAUCAGCUUCUUUAGCCUAUCACAAACAACCACGAUAAGAUAAAGAAAAGUAGUCUUAAGCAGAAUGGACAAAAGGAAAAGUCGAACCUCCAGAAUAUGACCACGAGCAACAAGCUUCGCCAAGUCGUGACCAGAAGCCUUCCAAAAUUCCUUCAAGAAAUUCUUCUUCACAAUCUGAACAUUUUUCGACAUCUCCUGUGCAUCGAGUCCUGAAGCAGAAGGAAACUUGUAACCGUGCACACCAAAUUUCAGGAAAUCUGAGCAAUUUUCCGCCUUGAGCAGCUUUAGCAUACCCUCGCAACACAACACGACUAGAAAACCCCCUCUGUAGCUACGCUAUAGUAGUAACGCACGCUAAAAGUGUCUCUACAUCAGCAUGUAAAGAUGUUUUUUGAUACAAUUUCGAAAAUGUGUUAGAUUGUUACGAUAUUAGACACGCUUAUAGUGUUAUUAGUCAUAUAAAGACAUUUCUUAACACGCUAUUGAAGUCGUCUCAAAAAGACACGGAGUUAGACACACUUUAAAGCGUCAUUAUCCCCCCUUAGAUACGCUGUAGUAGUAACACGGACUAAAAGCAUCUCUAUGUUGGCCCGUAAAGAUGCCUUUUGACAUGAUUUCAAGAACGUAUCAAAUUAUCACGAUAUUAGACAUGCUUACAACAUUAGUAGUCUUAUAAAGAUAUUUUUUAACACGUUAUUGAAAUCAUAUCAAAAUGACAUAAAGUUAGACACGCUUUAAAGCGUCAUUAACCUCUAGAUACAUUGUAAAGCGUACCUAGAAAAUUAUAUAUAGUCACACAAAGAUGCUUUUUAACACAAUUCUAAAAAUGUAUCAAAGUGAUACAAAUUUAGACAUGCUUCCAAUUAUCAAUAGCAUGUAGAUAUGUCGUAAAAGCGUAUCACCAUCCAUAGGCACGUAAACCAUAUAUUAAAUACUGAAUUAAAAAAGGAGAAAAAAGAUGAUGCACCAAGAGUUGAACGAUGACCUGUAGGCUUAAAAAGUACGGAACUAAAAACGUAAACCAUAUAUUAAAUACUGAAUUAAAAAAGGAGAAAAAAAAGAUGAUGUGCCUGGAGUCGAACGAUGACCUGUAGGCUUAAAAAGUACGGAACUAAAACAUUAUUAGUAUAUUUUAAAAAAAUGGGAAACAAAAAAUUAGUGAUGUGCCUAUAAUCGAGAUCUAACCUCAACCUUUGAAAACCGUACCCAAACCAUUGCACUAAUGAUGUAAUUUAAUUUGAUUGAGAACUAAAAUAUUAAUUGUAUUUCUUUGUAAGCCUCGAAUAAGGCCGCGACACCGAGGCCCGCUUGCUGCUUAUGAAGUGGGCCUGUGCACCUUUUUUUCUGGACCGAGGCCGUGCGUGUCCUUACUCUGGCUUGGGCCAUAUCCUGGGUCCAGCCCAUGCUCCUGGCCCAUGGCUCCUAAUAAAUUUACAGUUCAGUUUCGGCCCUGCGCAGCCUUCUAUUCUGGGCCGAGCUCUUGCUCCUCCUCUCUCUGAUUUGGACCGUGGCUCUUAAUAAUUAUAAAAUAAAAAUAGUUAGUAUGGAUGGGGUUUCGAACCCAUAAACAACUUUGAUGCAACUUGCCAGCCUCACCACUGGGCAACGAAAGGAAUUUGUUUUUUUUAUCAUAAAUAAUCCUAUUUAUAAAUUAUAUCUACACAUUUUUUUAACCGAAGUCAGCAUGGGAAGUCUCUACCUAUUCUUUUUUAGCAUUUUUUAUUUCAGACCCGUUUAAUUCGCUCCCACAAGGAGUUAAACCCGGACCUACUGGGUGCUAGCUCUAACCUCUAGGCUAGAGGUCCUUUCGCAAUUAUGUCUAUGCUUUAGUUGCUGUGACUUUUAGUUCUUAAAUUUUUAUUUUUAAUAAUGCACGAAGUGUUAGAAAAUUAUAAAAUUUGGUCAGAGACAAAAAUAAAUCCUUAUUGCAUCCAUGAAAAAAGUUUCAUUAAAAAAUCACCGUGAGAUAACGGUUUACUCCAUUUGAUCUUCAAUUGAAAUCACAUGUUUAUAGUCAACCUUGUCUAUUUCGUAUGAGAAUUUAAUAUAUUGUUGUUUCCAUAUGAUUCAUUUAUGUAAAAAAAAUAAUUGUAUUUUUAAGCAAAAAUAUACAUUUUUAGAAUUUAAAUAUAUUUAAGCCUAUUUGUUAUAAUUACUCAAAAUUUGAACUACAUGUGCUAUUAUAAUAAUAUUUAAUUUACUAAAAAGGUCAUAGAUGAGUAUUGGCAUACAUAUCAAAACUGUGUUUGAGUUUGGAAGGAAAAAAAAUGUUUGUGUACUUUACAAUUGGAGUUUCAUAGUUACUUAAUUGUUUUUAUUUUAAACAACACACAAAUCUUUUAUAGAAAAGUAUUAAAUUUUGUUGCCGACCAAUAUAUAUCCUUGUUACAUACACGAAAAAAGUUUCAUUAAGAAAUUAAAGUUCCGUAACUUCCUCCAUUUGGUGCUUAUUGAGAUCACGUGUUUAUAGUCAACAAUCUUCUCUCUAUCAAGAUUCAAUGUGACUAUUAAUUAAUUUUAUCUGGUUUAAUUGAGAACGAGGUAAGCAUAUGCUUGAUAUAGUUUUCAUUUGAGAGCACAUCCUCAUAGUCACCACUCUAUGUAUUACUAAGGUUUAAGUUAAUUAAUAGCUGAAUUUCAUAUGUUUUGUCUAUGUACAACGCAUAACUUCAACUUUUUUGCAGUAACAUAAUUUUGGAAUUCAUUCAAACUCAAUAAAAAUAUUAUAACCUUGAUUUGCCUUUUCCAUUUCACACAAAAUAUGAAUCAUUUUGCUCCUGUAAUUUAUUUUGAAUGUACAACAUGUCUUUACCUAUCCAAUUUUCAAAAUUAUUAUAAUUUUUUAAAUGAUUUUUGAAUAAUUUAUACUAUUUUGAGAAAUAGAGCAUGUUUCGCUAUAUGGCUAAAAUUUUUGGCGAUCAAACUCCCCACCUCAUGGGAAAUUGAGAAUGCCCCACUGAACAACCUUAUCUCCUCUUCUCCUUAACCGCCUGUCCCCUCCGUCUACUCUAUCUUCUCCACGACUCCACCUCCUUGGACCUCGCUCUUCCCCAGAUCCACCGCCGCCCUCCCUACCCCCACCUAUGAUCCGCUGCCGCGCUCCUCUCCUCAUCCCGUCGCCAUCCCUCAAACCAGCCACCGCGCGCGCCUCUUGCUCUUCCCCAAGAGCUGCCUCCAUCUCUCGCUCUUCUGUCCGCUGGUGGAGGUGUUGCAACCCGCAGUGCGAACGGCGGUGGAUCAUACCGUCACCGCGGCGGCGGGCUAUGGCAUCUGGAUCCGCACGGCCGCUAUGUCAUGGUAACUCUAAUCUAACCUUAAUCAUUUUCCUCUAGUACCCAACUGAUUGAUUUGCCUCGAUCCAUCGCCCAGGCCCAUCGCCCUCACCUUGAUCCGCCGCCGUCGCGGUGCUGGCGACCGGCUGAGUGCAUUUCCGUGAUUGGCACAACACGAUGCAGGGCCGUCUCCGUGGUCGCAAGUGGUUUCCAUCUCCCCGUCACUUCUUCGCCCAGCAUCCUGUCGCGCAAGCGGCGAGCCACCGUGAUGCAGCGCGCCAUGCUAUUGGCGAGGGUCACGGCUGUGGAGCUCUGCCUGGCAUUGAUUGCGGUGCUAGCUGCCGAGUGCAUGGGCUGGGACCUCGAUUCCUAUAGCCGCGCUGCAGUUAGUCAGUUCCGGUAUGCACAGAAAAGAAAUUCCCCGUUGUUUAUACAUUAUGGUUCGAGCAGAAUACCAUGCAGCGGUGAACGUCAUUGGCCUUUUGUACCUGCUCUUACAGUUCUUAGUGCUCUCGGAUCCCAUGAAGAAGAACAAGCAUUUGAUUUCCCAUACCAAGCGUGAUCUAUUUGACUUCAUCAUGGAUCAGGUUUGUGCUUAAUCACACUUUUACUGCUCCUUUUCCUAGGUUUCUUUAGGGCCCAAAUGCAUACAUUUAAAUUGUGCCAUCCUUUUAUAAAAUAGGAAUUUUUUUGUCAACCUAAUGUCUGAUUGCAAUGGAUCUUAUGGCUGUUAAUUCAUUGCUGUGCAAUAAAUAAUUAAUUAAAAAGUAACCUAAUGUAAAGGGAUCGAAUCACUUGAGAAUGGGUGAGCCUGAAGAUAACUUAAUCUUCUUUCAUCAGUCAAUACCAAUUUAUGUUCUAAUAUAGCUCUUGUAGUUCAGAUAUAAAGUGGCCUCACUGGAAUUCGAUCAUAUGUAUUUUACCCUGAUGUGCUACAGUUCUGAAUUAUAUUUUCUUCGCCUGGUCAACUCAAAUUAUCAUUUCCUUGCAUACAUUAGCAUCUUUCUUGCCAGUAUCCUUCAUCUUCAGCGAUUAGCGCCUUCAUUUUUUGUUGCAAUAUGAUGCAUGUAUGCUGAGUUUUAAAGAAGCAUGGCGAUUUGAUUGUUUGUAUCUUCCUAUAAACAUAACUUUAAUGUCCAUGCUACCUCUCGCUCACGAAUAAUCCCACUCUAUUUACAUAUGCAUAUCGAAGGCAAACAUUAUAUUUUUUUUAUGCUAGCGCAGAGUACUAACACUGUGCACAAACAAAUGUUAACAUUGCUCCUACCCGCAAAAGCUCAUUCUCUGCAGAAUUCUUUGAUGCUAGUGCAGAGCACAGUUAGAGGAAAACAAGAUCACUGAAAUUCACUCUAUAAGCUACCUCAGUCUACUUGGUAAGAAUAUCAACUUAAUUGUGAAUGCUCCUGUUGCUCCAGUCCUACCAUGGGCUGUUGCUGAUCCUUGAUAUGUUUGAUGAAUUACAGUUGAUGAUGUCUAUCUCUUACAACUGUCUUAUGCUAUUUUAUGUUGAUAACAAUCAACAUUUGGCUUCAGUUACACUAUGAUGAUUAAUGUAUCUAUGGUUGAUUUAACUGAAACAGUCACUGGCUUUUGUUGCAGAAUACGACUUAUGCAAAGCUUAGGACAGUAGUUUCUUAAAUAGUUUUUGCAUUGUCUUUAAGUUUUUGCACCCAUGUUUUUAAUUUCUUGCUUAUAUUUUCUUAUGUCUUUGGUGAUGUCCUUUAGCCUUUAUCUUUAGUAGUUAUUAAAUCUUGCUUUUACUGUUUUGCCUUUCUACUUGUUACAGUAAUUAGCUUGCCCUUUAAUUUAGUAAUCUUUGCUAUUCUGAUUGUGACCAUAUUCUGAUCAUUGAUAUGGUCGUUAGACUAUUCCGAACUUAUUUGCCGAGCUUCGAUCACAAAUGGAUGACAUGUCAAAGAAACUGGAGGAAACAGAACAUGCAAGGGACCAAGAGGAGAUGAAGAUAAAGCAUACUGAGUUGGAGACGAAACUGGAGCGUCUGCUGGGUCAAAUCUGAAAGUUGCAGGUGAAGAAAGCUGCAAGUUCAAAUGUGAAACAACCUGGUGAUGUAACUUUUCAAGGGAGAAGUGAAGCUCAAAUCUGAAAGUUGCAUGUGAAGAAAGCUGCAAGUUCAAAUCUGAAAUAACCUGGUGAUGUAACGUUUCAAGGGAGAAGUUAAGCUGCGAUGGAGAGAGGCACAAGAACGGGCAAUGAAGCGUAGGUUUUAGUUGUUUGUGAAAAAGUUUAGAAAUAAUUGUAUGAUAUUGUCACUUUGUCUGUGUUUCUUUAUCAGGGCAUUCUUGAAUGAAGUACUCAGUUUCUUUUUGGUGAAGCAAAGAAUUGAUUGCCAAUGCAAUGUCAUGGAUAAUUUAUUUAUGCAUUAUUAACCUAUUUGAAAAUAAAAUGAUAUAUUGCAUUUAUAAAUGAAAAUAAAAGAAUCAUUAUACAGUAGUACACAUGAAAAUAGAUGUAUCUAUAAAUCAUCUCUACAUUUCUUAAUACACAAUGUGGUGUUACUAUAAAACGUGUCUAUAUCCGUACACGCAUAAUAAAAUUGUAUCUACGAUAUUGUUUCUACAUUUGUGAACACGCAAUUUGGUGUUACUAUGAAACGUGUCUUCCGCCACGUCACCUGCCACAUCAUCCACCACAUCACGUGCCAUGUCACCUGCUAAAUCAUCCGCCACGUCACUCACCACAUCAUCCGCCACAUCACCUGUCACGCUCUACUAAAUCGUCUCUAUACUAAUUACUGCGCAAUAAGGUGUCGUUAUAAAAAGCGUCUAUAUUAGUAGGCAUGUUUUGUAUACAUAUCUAUAAAUUGUAUCUAUAUUUAUUAACACGAAAUGAAGCGUUACUAUACUACGUAACUAUACCACUAGAGACGUUUUAUACGUGUGUCUGCAAAAUUGUAUCAAUAUUUUUAGAUAUGCAUCUACGUGUUUAUAAAAUAUCUCUUUGUUUCAUAGCAACGCUUAAAGGAUUCGUGUCUACAAGGUCUGACGCGGUACGUACGAAGACGCUUCUAACACGCUUUAUGAAAGUGUGCCUACAAUGACAUAGUGACGAAAUAAAGCGUGUCUAAUUCUAAAAUUGGCGUACCUACAGGGGGUUUUCUAGUAGUGCAAGAAGGCUGCAUAAUCACUGGCUCCCACAAUAACUAAGGGCAAGGUCUCAAAUUCUUGAUCCAUCCAAUCAAACAUUUCCUUGGCACCCUUAUCAACGGGGAAAAGAAGGGGUUCUGCCCCAAACUGUGCCAGUGCAAGCUUAUACCCAUCAUAAAUCUAUGAAAAACGGGCCUUCAGCACUUGCUCCACACCAUCGAUGAAACCUUUCUGAUCCUCGAGGUUUUUUCCCAAGGUAUGAAUCAUAGUACGUGGAUAUAGAACCUACGGAUAUGGUUGUGCUAUCGUAGUGCCAACACUACUCUGACCAACUGUUGUAUUUGCUUCGUCCAAUACCGGCAUGCACAUUGGCGUCAUCUUUUUUGGAGGCGUCAUCAUCACCAUAGGAUGUGGGUGGCCCACUGGUGGCUGGUUCAUUAAUACUAGCCCGGACUGCUGCUGCUCUGCAAGUGUUUCCAUUCAUAGUCCUUAAACCUAUUUUUUCAGUUUGCUUGAAGACGCUGCCUUGGUGUAAAAUUUUUGGAGCAGAAUAAAAUUCGAGCAUGCUGCCAAAAAAAAUAUGGAACUGCUUACUUCGGUACCAAUGUCCUUUCAUUGAGAAGUGCAUAUACCCCAGGUAAACUACCUUUCUAGAACCUUAUAGAAAAGAUCAUUCGGUAUCACCCAAGCAGUGGCGGAACUAGAAAUUCUAGGUGGGGGACAGCAUCCAAACGUAAUAAAAACUUAUCGAUAUCUAAUUAAAAGGUUACAAUUUUAGGAUUCAUAGAGAUAACUAUGGGGAGACAGAAAGAUAGUAGGCCGGAAUUUUUCAUUUCUAAACAUACUUUGUAUUGGGAAAUGCUUCACGUACGACUAUUUGCACUCUAUGACUUCAUACGUACAAGACACCAGCUAAUGUAUUGGUAAUGUCUUUCUUAUUGCAAUAUCUUUGUUCACUAGUUUGUUUUUUUAUAAAAUAAUGUUAGAUGUCUUCCUUUUUAGGUCAACGGUUUUUUCUUAAAAGAUUAUAGUAUAAGUUUUAGUUUACCACGUUCUACAUGUAUUUAGACAAAACAAAAUAGACAUUGAAACUGCUUGGCUUCUUGAUUAUUAUUUCGAUCUUGCUUCAGGUUUACUAGUCGCAUGUUGAGAAGCUAGCUAGUUGGGCCUCUUUAUGUGUAAUCCGCCUGGUCUUUGUACGAAGGAUAUAUAUGGCUUUAGUGUAAAACGGUGGUGAAAUAUUGUUUUCCAGCUCCCGUGCUUUGAACUUUGGACUGUACGACAGAAGGGUGACUUAAAAUUUUUAACCGUGUUUUGGGGACUUUCGACAUGAUUAAUUGUUCCUCUAGUCACUUCCACUAGAACAAGGGUCUAAUUUAUUACAUAUAUUUAUAAAAGCUAUUAAUAAAAGCUAUGAAUCUAGCUAGAAAUGCCAAUGCCAUCUUCAAUUUGGGACAGAGAGAGUACAUGCAAUUAGUGAUAAAAAUUACAAUUCACCAGGAUGGAAGCUGUAAUAUAGAAGAAAGAAAGCUAGACAUAUAUGGAUGUAAAAGGAAGUACGGCACAUAAUUGGCCUCAUAUUACUGAUAGAGUCAAGACGAUACAGUAGUAUGAAUAUGCAUACUUGAAUCUAGGUACUAGCCUGGGCCAUCCAUUAUUUAAUUUGAUAACCGGCGGUUGCAGUAAUAUUUAUUCAAACUACAUUUAUGCGUGGGAUUUCAUGCAUCCUUCUUAGUUUGGAGGCACAGUUCAUCUGGAAGGAGAUUGUCGUCAUGACCACAAUAUGUUGGAAAAUGAGCAGAUGGUGGCGGGAGAGAUGUGUCGACUGUCGGACCAUCCUCUACAAUGAAUACUGCCGCCAUGCUCAUAGUCAAAUGGAAUUCAUAGUGGCAAUGCAUGAACCAUACCUCUGUAAAUCAUAUAAGACAAGCAUUAGAUCUGAGAGUUUCGACUUUGAAACCCGACUAACACAAAUAAAUCUUACACACACCUGGAUUGUUCGCAACAAAUCGGAUGGCAGCCCACCCAAGAUUUGGGACAAGAACGGUGUUGUUCACUGGUGGAUUCACCGAGUUGUAUUUUGCAACAUCUUUCGCGGCGUCGAAGUUACCAAACCCCUGUGCAAGAAGGAUCAUGUUGUGACCAUGUAGAUGCAUCGGGUUGGAAUCGUCCUGUAGAACUGCUGUGCUCUGGAACACUAUCUCCACUGCGGCACCAUGCCAGAACCUCCGCACCACCGUAGCCUUAUACGAUGGCUCUAUGGCGCAUCUGCUUGGGCCCAUACGGGAUUAAGGCUUCGUCAGUGAAUUUGAAUGCCCUUCGUGGUCUGUCGGGAAGCUCUUGCAUCAAGUCCACGCUUCCAGUGUGGUAGUAGUGUGCCUCUAGUAGUGGCAUCUUCCCCGUGGGAUGCUGGAAGGAAACGUUGUUCAUGUUUGCGAUGAGGAUGGUCUCAUUGUGAUCACCCCUCCUGCAGGACUGGCCAUGCUGACAUAUUGACACGGGUAGAGAACUUGGUAUCAGUUCCGGUUGGUAGGGUGCAAAUCUCCUGAAAAUCCAUCCAGGAUAAACCAAUCGAGACAAAGGGGGUCUUUUGUCCCGGGUCACCUGGAGGGCCCCCUUUUUGUCCCAAGUCACACGAUUUUUCAAGCGAAAUUUGCGCGUGCACGCUGUGUGGGAUUCGAACCCACGACCUCCAGCCUCGCGCGUAGCUUCCUUGCCAUCCCACCUACACAGCACAUCUGACUAUAUAGGGAUGCAAUCCUUUUGUAUUAACUCGUGGGGAUCCUUUUAUCCCAGUUGGAAACACCAACCGGGAUAAAAGAAAAGACCCCCUUUUAUCCCGGUUGGUAUUACAAACCAGGAUAAAAGGGUUCGAGGGAUUUCAGCCACCCCAUUGGGGACCCUUUUAUCCCGGUUUAAAACACCAACCAGGAUAAAAGAUUAUCCUGGUUGGUGUUUUAAACCGGGAUAAAAGACCCUCGACCCUUUUAUCCCGAUUGGUAUUACAAACCGGGAUAAAAGACCCUCGACCCUUUUAUCCCUGUUGGUGUUACCAACCGGGAUAAAAAAGGGGUCUUUUAUCCCGGUUGGUGUUUCAAACUGGGAUAAAAGGCCUCUCAGGGUCUUUUUUUUCACUAGCCUUUGCAACCAGGAUAAAAGGUCCCGGUUGGUGAGCCCUCCGCUAGUGAUCAAGCUUUAGUCCCGGUUGGUGAACCUUUUAUCCCGGGCCAACUUUAUCCCGGUUGGUGUUUCAAACCGGGAUAAAAGGGUCCCCAACGAGGUGAUUGAAACAGGACUAAAUCCCUCGAACCCUUUUAUCCCGGUUUGUAAUACCAACCGGGAUAAAAGGGGGUCUUUUAUCCCGGUUGGUGUUUCCAACCGGGAUAAAAAGGGUUCCCCACGAGUUAAUACAAAAGGAUAGCAUCCUCUAUAUAGUCAGAUGUGGUGUGUAGGUGAGAUUGCAAGGAAGCUACGCGCGAGGUUGGAGGUUGUGGGUUCGAAUCCCACGCAGCGCGCACGCGCUUAUUUCGCGUGAAAAAUCGCGUGACUUGUGACUUGCGACGUGUGGGGGCCUCCUGGGAGCCCGGGAUUUCUUUUUUUUUUUGCAGCGCCUGCCGUGGUGACCCGUUUUAUCCCUGUUGGUAAUACCAACCGGGAUAAAAGGGGAGUCUUUUGUCCCGGUUGAGUGACCCGGGAGAAAAGACCCCCCCUUUUUGUCCCGGUUGGUUUAUCACGGAUGGAUUUUCGGGAGAUUUGCACCCUACCAACCGGGACUAAAGGCCAAUUCUCUACUAGUGGUUGCUGUGCUCGUGCUACUAUCACUGCCGGAGAAUGGACCUUUUGUCCACUGCAUUAGUGCCGGUUGCAAUUGGGCCUGGUAGAGCAUUAGUAUCGGGCCUAACGGAUAGCCCCAGGGCCGCCUUGUGAACCCCUUUAGUAUCGGUUUGUGGUCCCACCCAGUACUAAUGUGGCACCGGGCUUUUAGUACCGGGUGGGGGCACCAACCGGUACUAAUGUGCACCCUUUAGCACCUGUUGGUGCACCCAAUUGGUCGCCGCCGCCGCCCCACCUCAUCUACCGCGCGCUCCCUCGUCGCCGCCGCCGUACGCUCUCAUCGCCGCCCUCUUUGCUGCCCCCAUCGACCGCCGCCACCCCACCUCAUCCGACACCACCCCGCCUUGUCCGCCGCACGCCUUCGUCGCCGCCCGAACCCGUACGCCCUCGUUGCCGCCCCCGUCGACCGCCGUUGCCCCCACCUCAUCCGGCGCCACCACCCCGCCUCGUCCGCCGUGCACCCUCAUCGCCACCCCUGUACGCCCUCAUCGCCACCCCCGUCGACCGACGCCAUCGUAUCAUCAUCACAGAAAUUGAUGAAUGGUGAAUCAAUUGCUCCUUCCUAUGCUAAGACUAAAUUGGUGAAUCAAAUUGGGUUUCUUGUUAGAGAUAAGAUUCCAAUAAGCUUUAAGAAUUGGAAAAGCCCUGAAAUCAAUCGCUUCCACAAGCACGAUCCCAUAAGCGCGGUUCCUGAGUGAGAGAAGGAAAUGAUAUGGUUCGAAGGUGUAGAUGAAGCAAAAGUGAAAGAUUGGAGCUUCAAGAAGGGUGCAAUUGCUUUUCAGAUGUACAAGAAAAACUUGAACAAAGACUACAUAAAGAAGGGGCUUACACCUGAUUUCACGAAGCACCCGAAGUUAAGAGAUCACUGGGAUUCAUUUUUGUAGUUCAAGUAGUCGCAAUAGAGCGCUAAGGAAACUCAAACCAACACCGACAAUGCUCAGAAGAAGAAAUACUUCCAUGGUCUUGGGCCAGGAGGUUACAAGAAGGGGAUCAUGAAAUGGCAGAGGAUGGAAGAUAACAUAAUUGCUAGUGGAAUAGUACUGCAGACUCUCGAAUGGUCGGAGCAAGCAAAGAAUUGGUAUUAUGCUCAUGGUGGCACGCUUAAUCCCGAAGAUGGAUCAUUUGUGUUCGGCCAAGAAUUAACAGAAGUGGCUACGAGUCUUGUUGACUUAAUAAAGGCUACCUUAGAAUGAUCUUUCGUGCCUAAUAAGGAGAAGGACGAGCUGACUAUGGCACUAGGUAAUCUAGAACACCCUGAAUAUUAUCGAGGCAAAGGAGUAAUUCCAUGGAAGUUUGCUUUUCGUGAGCACCUUGAUUCAUACAGAAGUCGCCAAAGAAGUAAGGCCGAACACGCACAAUAGCUGCGAGAGUUGCAAGAACACAUAGGUUUGACUGAGGCAAGAAUGGAAGAAGCAAUCGACUGACGUGUGGCUCUAGCUCUUAGCAAACAAGCUAGUGAACAAGCAGCUGCAGCAUCAGAGGCUAAUGUCAACGUAAGCCCCUCUCAGCGUAGCGUCGCUUCCACGGAAGCCGAAGCUGGAGGAUCUUCUAACAUAUUUGAGGACAACCAACGCCACCCUAUGGACGACAUCACUGGGAGAGCCCCUUGUGAGCUUGUUACUCCCGUGAAAAACAAGCUUAUCGUGGUGGCUUAUGGUGUGGCUAAACAACCAACACAAGGCCAAACAAUUCAUGGCGUGGAGAUUCCAGCUCGCGGUUACACCAAAGGUGGGGUGGACCGAGUGGUCGACGGUUGGGAUGAACUGAAACUGGAGACCCCUGGAGGUGAUGGGUAAAAGAAUCUAGGAGAAGCCAUCCUUAGUUGGAUUCUAUGGCCCAAGCGCUACAUAAGGAUAACACAGCCGAAUCCCCGACCUUGGGAUCAUCUCCUCAAGCCUCAACCCCUUGCCUCAACCAUUUUUGCGGUGCCAUUAACACAAGUGUUUUGAUUGUCUUUCAAACCUGCAACCUCAAACCUAUGCGUGAUGCCCUCUAGCUAGGCCACUCCACCCAUGCUUGGCUCGUCCAGAACAUUUUGUGAUAAUUUACAUAUACAAACGACUUCAAUUUAAUGAAAAAGGUUUUCAAAAUUUCACUUCCGUUUUGCGAGUCUAGUGGAGUCCUUGGUUGUAGAUCAUCUUUAGUUGUCAAUUGAAACAUGCACCGAAAAAACCCUAAUAUAACUUGCAUAGUGUUCGAUAAAACAGGCGCAACUUUUGCAUAUGGAGUCAAAAUUGGACCCUCUUUUUUCCCAAAAAUGAUUGAAAAUAUUAUUUUGUGUUAGCAGGAUUGGUGCCAUUGGGCCAUGUCAGGCACUGUAAGGCAUGCAUCAACUGCUUAUGAGAUGAGGAAGAAGGCAGCUUAGCUCAGACUUAAUGUACAUUGUCUGAGCGCCCACUGUGGUCCUCCCCUCGUGGUUCACGCGCACCGGGCCAGCAGACAAGCUAUGAUGUGGCCAGCAGGGGCUCAAGUUGCUGACCACAAAAGGACGCUUAGAAUGGCACCAUGGGCCUGAUUGGUUCACUACCAAAAUUUUGGCAUGCCAGGGAUUUGGCAAGCUAAUAUUUUGGCCAUUGUUUGGUUUGUUACCAAAAUUUAGCAACCUCUCCCACUUAUCUUACUAAAAUAUUAGCAAGUUUCUUGCCCAACUUUUAGCUUGGCAAAACUUUGGCAUGCCAAAAUUUGGCAACAAACCACUCCAUAUAUAGCAAAAUUAUCAGUAGAUAUGAGCAGAAAAUAAAAAUACUACGAAUACUAGGAAUGUAACACAAAUAUGUCUGUCAGAUCGAAAGGAUUUUAUUGCAUAUUCCGGCCAGACAUAUUGCAGGUUCCGGUGCCCUAUUAUUGUCAGGCGCCGUACAUCACGUUACAGACACGUGCAACACUAUUAUUGGUAGCUCAAUUAUUUCUGUCAAGAUUGCCAAUGGACAUGGCCCAACAAUGAUCAAGCAUGAUCAAUUGCUUAUGAGCUGAGCAACCAGAAAACCAUGGACACGUGGUGAUUUAAGGAUGUCCGUAUUAGGUCGAAUCAGUUUUGAUAGGUUAAGAGACCUUCCAUCCAGCGUUUUUAGUCCCGGUCGUUUUUGGACCCGGGACUAAAGGGCCUUUAGUCCCGGGUCAAACGGCCACUACCGACAGCCACCGACGACGGGAGUUUUAGUUCCGAUUGUAACGGCUAGUGAAACGAGGGAAUCUAGCGAGGCGUUUAGUCCCGGUUGAAAACACCAACCGAGACGAAAGACUAUCCAUUUAGUCCUGGUUGGAAUCCAACCAAAACUAAAUGGACAACCUUUCAUCCCCGUUGGUAAUUCCAACUAGGACUAAACGCCUUGCCUAUAAAAGUCAACUUCUUCCUCGCCGAGCCCGAGCCACUAUGACCGAGAGCUUUGAGCUCCUUCUCCAUGGCGAGCAAGCAAGCUUAGGGAGGUGCUGCCCGAUUAUUUUUCCUUAUUUUCGUGGGGAUUUCACUCAUCCAAAUUGUUGUAAAGGUUAGCUAUUUCAUCCUCCCUUCAUUUAUUAUUAUUAUCCUUUGUUUUAUUAUUUAGAGAUAGAGAAAAAUGAGUUUUUUAGAACGAGGGAGAAUGCAGAUGAUUUUUUAUUUAUACAUAUUUUUGAGCUAGAAUUUGAUGGAUAUCUUGCUUGUUAUAUAUGAUUUGUAUUAGAUAAAUAUCUUGAUAAUAUUAGGUAUGGGAAAAAAAUAGAGUGAAUGUGUUUGCUCAUAGUGCCAGCAGCCCAAGAAGCAGCUGCUGCAGCCACGGCUGUAGAGGUGGCGGUGACGGCCAUUGCGGCGGCGGCUGCUACCCGCACCUUAGUUGCCUCCGCGGCGACGGAGGCCGCCCUCCUCGUCAUGGCGGGGGUUUCCUCAUGCACCGUCGCCACAUCAUCAGACCCACGUCCGAGGCGUGGAAGGCACUUGCAGCCGAGGCUCUGUCCCCCACCAAUGCGGCUAGGGGGGCCAUGGCAAUGUAAGCGGCCAUCGAGUUGCUAGCCAGAUCCCCCGCCGCCAUGGCCUCAACGGCUACGGCCGAGGCCUAUGCUUGCGCGGCUAUGGAGUGGGAGCUUACCUGCCACCGCCGUUGCCUCCCGUUCAUCCAUGACCUUUGUUACCAUGGAGGGGAUAGCGGAGGUUCUAUCGGCGCAGUUCCGGAGAUGUAAGCCCUGCCGCUAGUUGUGUACUCCGGCGAUGUAAGCGCCGGAGCAUAUGUUAUGAACGUAUUGCCCUUUUGCCUAGUUAGAUUUUUCGGUUCUUUUAGUUAUAAUCAUGAUGAACAACGCUAGGUUGUGUCCAUUUAUUUCAGUUGUUUCAGUUCAUGCAUGAGCAAGUACGACUAAGCUAUGUUUAUGUGUUUUGUUGAUGUAUGUGUUGAAUUCUGUUCAGUUCAGUUCAGUUGAUGCGUUUGCAAUGAAUUCUGUUGCCUUCUGUUCAGUUCUAUUUAUGACGAACUAUGCAAGAUUUAAUCUGUUCUGUUCUGUUCUAUUCGGUUAAUGUUUAAAUAUCCGUUUUUUUCAGUUGAUGAUGAGUGUAAUAUGCUGUUAUAAACGUCUAGCACGUACACAUGCGUAUUCCUUUGAAUGUGCAUUUGUUGUUUGUGCAAUUUGUUCAUAACAAUUCAGUACUACUCAUGAAUCGAUGGACAGUACAAAUGGAAAACAAUUUAUUUUGGCUGCCUUUGAUAGUAUUCCAACUAGUGCUAAUCGAUAACGGUAGUAGGUUAACAAACAUUACGGCCUAGUUAGACACCGCUAGGACUAGUAACCCUAUUCGCAUUGGUGUUAACAAUUAAUGGUAGAAUUAGCUACUCAAUGGUAUCAGCGGUCAACAAAAGCCGAUUAAAAUAAUAAAAUAUUCUAAUAAACGGAAGAUGAUGCCGGCACGUUUAGCGGCUUAUUUGUGUCGAUUCUGACACCGGCACAAAUAAACUACCCUCGUUCUUAUCAGUCCCGUGGUAGCUGUCCCAGCACUGCCCGAAUGAGAGUUUCGCGCCAGCACGUAUACGUAUGAGGGUUCUUGCAGUUGUGGAUGGUGACAUGCACACACUCUCACUUAUUUGUACAAGCAUAUACACAAAUCCGACAAAUCAUAAUCGAGAUCUAUAGGUGUUUCGCGGUGGUGGGCACGUCGCACCACUCAACUAAUAGCACAGUUUCACUAAUUGUGAAUCAAGAACUCAAAAUGAUAGUAAGCAUCAGGCAUUUAAAAAGCAAUCAAGAAUUCACAAAGGUCUCUUGUAGUGUGUGGAAACCUUAUAGUAAGAGUUAGAUGAGCCACUAUACUAUAAGUUGCUGAUGAUCUGAGCAAGCAAAACAUGUGCCCCAUCUCAGACUGCAUGCACGAUGAGAUCAGUAGAAGUCGACCAUCGUCAAGUUUCGGUACCUGACCAAUGGGAUCUGUUGGAUCGAAGGGUCGCAUUGCAUGUGCUCACUAACAGGCACCGUCCGUCGUCCCGUCAACGUAAGCCGACCGCAGUGGAGUGAGCCUAAGUUUUCCAUUUUUAUUUUUAUAUGUCGAUUCCUUCCACAUGAUGCACGUGGGGCUGCAAUGCAUCAGAGCCGGUGAAACAAGAAAAAAAGAGUUGCAAAGUGUGGUUUGCGUCCCAACGACCUGUAGGGCUACAGCUUCCCUGUUGACAUUGGUUGGCAGCGCCAUCUUCGUCUCCACGAUGCCGGGCGCCCCUUCACAGCUCUGAUCAUGUCUCCAUCCUAAGUUUUGGUGGACCGAGGGAGUUGUAUUAUAUAGAUCAAGGGUUGAAAUAAGGUGUUAUGAUUAUUACACAUUUUAAUGAUAGCUUACGAUAUAUGAAGGUGAGAUGAAAUCUUGUAAUCUCUAUUGCUUUGCUUAGUUGAAUCUUGUAAACUUAUAGGCACGACUUUCCUCAUGCACAUCUAGGUGUACAUUGGUGAGUCUAACUGCUAUUAUUGGAACCAACAUAUGCAAACAUAUACACCUUCACCACACAUGGAUUUUUUUUUUGAAAUACAGUAUAUACUCAUCAUAUAAAUUAAUGUACACUCACCCAUACAUUCACAUCCCACCCCAUUGAGCACCUACGAGAUUGAACUGGUACUUACAAACUCAAUUUCUUGCAGGGCCUCUUGGCAUGCAGUGCCUAAUGUUGAUACUGCCUAGGUUAUUAUAGUUAAUAUCUAGAGUUAGGCCCAACGCGGAGUAGCUGAUGAGGAUACUGGCUAGGUUAAUAUCUAGAAAAAGUCCUAUAUAUGUUUGGGAUUUAGAAAUAUAUAGUAGGACCUUUCACAAAAAGGGAUUUUAUUAGUCCCCCUUGCAUAAUAAAAUCACAUAUUUUAAUUUAAACCAUAAUAUAUUACCCUCCUAUGGUUGUUUAGACCAUGCAUCUGCCUACUUAGGGUACCUGAGAAAGUAGAUUGGUUGGUGAGGUUUGGUUGAGUAACUGUUACAUGUAUGAGUAUCGAAGCAUACAUGUGAUGCGCAAUCAGUUCCAUUUGUAAAACCGAGUAUGACAUCUGCGAUGCAGAUCUUGGAGCCGAAAACGACAUUGAUGGUGCCUUCCUCGAACUCGGCGUCGAAGUUAAAGAUGAUGGGGCCCAUAAAUCCUGCCGUAUGAUUCUCGUCGAAUAUCAUCAUCAUCGCAGCCAAGAUAUUGCUGAUGGACAUGGCUCCAUCAUUGAUAUUUCUACAUUUACCAGGGGUGGAGCUCAGGCUUGUCGACGGGGUCUGCCGACCCCAAUGAUUUUUGGAAAACUCAGUGACAAAUUACUGUAUCUUAUUGUUAAUGGUUUAUUAGAUCCCGCCUUCUUCUGCAUAAGACCCUAACAUUUACUCACUAACCCCGGUGCAAGAUGAUUAUUAAUAGUAUAACAUCAUCGUCAUCAUCGCUGCCAUAAUUCAGAGGCGAGGAGAGGAGGCAGCUCACGUAACGACACAAUUGGAUGAUCAUGCAAUAAUAAUAGCACCGUCACAGUCAAGCAGGAGUUAGAAGAAAGUGAUCGUUGCUGAUAUGGUGGGGAAGCAAGAGGCAGUUGUCCCAGCACCUCAGACUUAACGCACGAUGUCUUAGCGCCAACUGGGCCGGCACUCGUGUUCCACGCGCACCAGCAGCCCAAGGCAAGCUGUGAUGUGGCCAGCAGUGGCUGAUCAGAUGCCUGAGACCACAGAAAGGACACUUAGAAAGGUACCAUAUGCUGCAAUUGUAAAAUUGCCAGUAGACCUGAGCAGAACAGAAAACAACUGACCUAAUGCACAAUGUCUAAUAGCGCUCACUGGGCCGGCACUCGUGUUCCACGCGCACCAGCAGUGGCUAUUAUUAUUGACUGAGUGAUCCACUCGUAAUCCUAAGGACACGAGCCACCAGCGAACUCGUCCCCUCCCCCUGGACCACGCCGAGACCGUCGCAGACAACGCGGACCGCGUCCUGCAGGUUGCCGUGCUCGGCGCGCUCCGCAUCGAGGAUCUCCCUCAGCCGGGCGAGUUCAUCUGCAAGGCCCAUCCAUAAAAGUCCGCCAAGUCAGAAACCAUCGCAAAGCCGCAAAAACAAAGCAACGAGAAGAGCCUUACCCUCGGACUAAGCCUUCAGCUGACGCUCCCGAUCGAGCCCCUAGAUCACGGCGGUCUGAAGCCCCUGCACUUGCACGUGGAGCUGACUGACCUCCGCCCCAAGCUUGGCCGCUAUCUUCUUGGCCUCAGCCUUCCGGACCGCUCUAAGUCCCGCUCCUGCCAAGCCCUCUGCCGCUCCCACCGGAUACACUCGACGGCUUUCUGAAGGGCCUCAUGGUCCUCCUUCAGCCGUGCGAGCUCCUCGGCAUCGUGGCAUGCCUUCUCGGCAGCAGUCUGGAACUCCUCGAGAUCGAGGCAAGCCUUCUCGACGAUGGCCUGGAACUUGUCCUCUGCCCGCCGCCCGUCCUCCCACGCCGCCUGCUCACGCCUGCGCAGGUCGUCGAUGACUUGCUGAGCGGCGGCGACCUACGCGGUCAACUCCCCGAUCCGCUGCCUCUCCAUGGAGAAGCGAUCCCAGAGCCCCCGCUCAAGCCGGAGGAAAUCAGACUUCCCUCGGCUGCACUCCUGGAGGGCCUACAAAACAAUUUAUGCUCAGCAACGGAGAGACGAGAGGAAAACAACCACCGGGGAGAACACCGUACCUGGCCACCGGGGACGACGAAGCCGUGCAGCUCCCCCAUCGCAGAAGACAGGGCAGCGCGGACAUUUGCAAUCCUGCCCUGCACCGCCUACCACUUGCCCCACUCCUCGACAUCAUUCAGCACGAAGAGGGGUCUCUGCGGGUCCUACCAGGACGCCCAGCGCAGGGUAGGCCCACCCCACGCCUUGGGGACGAGAUUAACUGGGACAAGGGUGGAGGCCGUUCUGGCCGACCCCGGCGCCGCCGUCCCCAAUGCCGCCGCUAGGGCAGGUGCCACCGCCCCUGAUGCCGCCGGCCUCGUCGACGGCCCCGGCACAUGCGCCGCUGUCUCUGUCGAGGUUGCCACGGCCGUCCUUGACGCCGACGCGCGUCCCGCUCCAUCCGCCGCUGCCACCGUCUCCGUCGCGGCUGUCGGAGCGAGCAUUCCCGUUCCCGCCGCAGCAGCAGGGGCAGGUACACCCGCCUCCACCGCCGCCGCUGUCCCCGUCGCGGCCGCAGAGGCGGACUUUCCCUCCUCCAUCGCCACCGCCAUCUCCAUCGCGGUCACUGGGACACCUGCCCCCAUCUCCGCCGCCGCCAUCUCCACCGUCACCGCCCGAGCCGCCGGCUCCUCCUCCACCUCAUCGUCGAGGUCUAUCACCUCAUCGGUCGGAGGGACCCCGGGGGCAACUCCUUGUCCUGCAGGGCGGCCGCGGAGGGAGAAGGCGGAGCAGGGGUCAGACCCUGCCCCGUGCCCGGCUGCGGCACUCUUCCUCCGGUUGCCGCCAUGGAGGCCUCCUUCGCGGUAGGCCCUGCGGUCUCCCCGGCGACACCACUACUCGCCGCCGGCAGGGUCGCGUCUCGCCCCACGGAGGCGGACGACACCCGUAGCGCCUUCUUCGGUGCCAGUGGCAGGACGAAGUCCCAAGGGACGACGCUGUGAAACAACAACAACACCAUGAAAAACGGCUCGAUGCCGAGGAAGAAAUAAGAUGCGCGAGGAAUUCCCACUUACACUCCCUCAGCGCGAGGACGGUGGGCGCGUUUCGCCUCCGAGCCCGACGCAGACCCCGGGGCAUCUGGCAGCGGCUGCUUGCCGCUACUCCUCUGCUCUUGGGACGCAGGCAGAGGGUCGAGGUGCGGCCCCAGAGCUUUGCGAGGUCGAGUCCUGGGCAGGCGGUCCGCUCGGCUUGUCUCCCGCAGCCGUUUGGGGGCGCUGCUCCCGGAUGACGAGCGUGCCCGACCGGGGGGUCAGAAUGAACUCCUCCCCCUCUUCCUCCUCCUCGUCUUCCUCCUCUUCCUCCUUAUCAUCGUCAUCGUCGUCGUCCGACAUGACCUGGCCCCACCGCCGCCGUUGGAGCUCCUUGGGGGCCUUCCUUUUCUUCCUCGCCGUCUCCUUGUCCUUGCGCCUCUUCUGCUUCUCGGCGAGGAGGUGGUUCUGCUGCCGCCGCUCAGCGUCCUCUAGCACCGGUGGGCGCGAGUCGACGACAUUGGUCAUGUGGCCCUACAGACAUGAAAACUCCGCGUCAGAGCGACGAACCAAGAAAUGUAGGAAAAAAGAACAAGAGCGUGGAGUCCUCACCAGCUUGACAAAAUUCUCGUCCGGGUGCAUCGGAGGGUCACCAGGCACCGGGUAAUCAGCGUCCUUGUUGUCCAGCACCUCCCGGACUCGCUGCCGGAUCUCGGUGGCGGCAAGCGCACCCGUCGCAAGGACGGUGCCCUUGGUCAGCGCGCUGGGAACCAUCUCAGCGAGUGAGCAAACCCGGAGCAUCAGCGGCGCCACCCUCCGAGCAUGGUACGCCCCGAUAACUCCGGCCCCGGUCAGCCCCUUUCCCUUCAGGUGCUCGAUGGCCUGAAGCAGAUCGGUGAUCCGCUUAUUCUCCUUCUCCACUGGACCGUACGACCACAGCUUUGGCGCCGCUUCGAUGACGCGGCCGGUGAACGCCGGCAAGGGGGAGUUGGAGUAGUUCUUCACAUAGAACCACUGCUGAUGCCACCCCUUGUGGGACGCCACGGUCUUCAUCGCCAUAUAUUCCUUGGUGCGGUUCUGGGGAGGUGGAUGGCGGCGCACCCUAUCGCCACCGGGGUCGCCCGCUGCUGACUCCCCUUCUUCUCGGCCCUCUGGUACAGGCUGAUCGCGAAGAAGUACUUCCAGAGGGAGAAGUUGGGCUCGAUGCCCAGGAACCCCUCGCACAGCGCGACGAACGCCACGAUGUGCUGGAUCCCAUUAGGAUUAAGAAGCAGCUCAGCGGGGUCGCAAACCCCCUCUCGUGGAAGUGGGCGAACGAAACAAUGUAGCCAACGGGCGGACGCGGCACCUCUUCCCUCUCGGGGAACCGCCAUUCGCCCCUCUCGAUCCUCUUGCAGAGGAGGCCUUUCCUCAUGAGGCCGUUGGUGCGCGAGGUACCGAAGCUUGAGCGCGUUCAGGACUCCAUCGCGAAGGGGAGAAGGGGUCGACGGCGGAGGGUGAGGAAAGCUGUUGCGCUAGGCGGAGGAAGGUGAACGGCGCGCAAGAAGGCAAUGAGCGCGCGAGAGGGCGAAAAGAUUUGGGAGCAGUUGCGGGUGGAACCGCCGAGGUAGGCCCCCCAUCUUAUAGGAGGGCGCGUGGGAAGCGAAAGAGACAGUCUUGUCACAGUUAAUGCAAUGCCAGGUACGCCCCGUCACGCCCUCAAUUCUUGGAAUCCGUGCACAUGAUCUGCUGCAGAAAAACAUCUCCGCCUCCCUCGCUUCGUGGGCCGGCACCUUCCGCCACUUUGCCUCCCGGAGGACGUACACGCACAACCUCCUCCACAUCCAGCCCAAGGCCCACCAAUAGGUAAAAAAGGGGAUACGGGGCUGAAAACGCCCCUACGGCCCAUUACGGUCCAGGGGUUCGAAGGCUGGCCCACCACGGGUUCGACAGCCACUCCAGGACACCCUCGAGCGAGGGGUGAGAAGGGACGGGUCCGCUAGCGGCCAUAUCCAACCUCACAUUCGAGUCUAGACCAGUACCAAAGUUCAUGGUUUUUCCCCGAAGAAAGGCAACGAGCCCCUAGAUCCGAUCGAACGGACUCGGGAACUAUAUGAACUGGCCGGCCGGAAUCUGGGGUACGCCACCAGCUUGGCCUGAGAUGGACCCCCCCCCCCGAAUGGGGAUCGGGACCCACUCGAAUCGACCUGUUCGCAGCUCUACGAGCACCAUGGUUCGUCCGGUGAGGAUAGCGUGGCACGGCUCACCCCCUGUGUCUCACCGAACGGACGCUUGAGGGGUAACGAUCAAAAGUCGAUCUAGUCUCCUGACUGGACUCCCGCAACACACGGGGGCUCGGGGGCUAGCAUCGCAACUAAUGACCACGCGUGUGGUCGCGAUUUGAGGUCUCGAAGCGGGAGUGCCCUACGAAACAAUUGGGAAUUCACCCUCAUCAAGCCACCCACAUGACAUCUCGCCUGAUCAAUCCCCCCGGCCAAGCCGAACAAACAACGCUCCCUGUCCCUGAUUAACUGCAGCUUGCAUGGCGAGCAGAGGUUCCCGACGAACGAUGAAGGCAGCCUCUGGAGGAGCAUCCUCGCUCCACCACAGGCUCGGGGGCUACUGUUGGUGGUGAAAUGUUAACGACCUCCUAAUACCUCUUAAAACAACAAUCAUCAAGGCCUAGGCCCACCUGCAGUAAUGAUGAUUACCACCGACCUGGGAUAGGCGAGGAGCAUCCCACUCUGUCUCGCCCGACCCAGGGCCCUGGGGUCAAACGCGCCUGACCCCUCGAUGGCGAAACUCCGCCUCGCCCGCCCCGCGGUCCCAGGGUCAGGAGCGCCCGACCCCUCGCCGCAAGACUUCGCUUCGCCCGACCCCGGGCGUAGGGGGUCGGACUCAUCCGGGCCCACAAGACAAGUAUCCGCCUCGGGUGUAGACCGGCAGAUGAGGGCGCGGAUUUCGUGGGCCCCUCACCGAUCUCGCCAUAAAUGCACCGCAGCUCUGGCGCGUAGAAAGGCGCUCACGCCCCUCGACGUGACCCGCCAUAUGUACCCGGGCGGAACACUGUAGCCACGACCGCACAGGCUACAGUGUCCGCGGCGCCCCCUGAUUCGCCGUAGGGCACUCAUGCCAUGCGCCGCUCGGCACAGGAGGGAGCGCCGCCCGUUCUCGCGCCCAGCGUAUCCGACGACAGGGACGCGACGUCCGUGCUCCAUGGGACGUAAGCAGGAUAACGGGGGUCAGCCGUCUCCCCCAAUGUGCACAGUUGCCACGACCGAACACCACCAUCAUGCCGGGCGGCGACGGUCGCCCGGAGGAUCGGCAACAGGAUCCGGCGGCAGCCGCCCUCCUCCGGUGGCUGUGCUGAUAGGAGUCGAAGGCCGAAGCAGGAGGCGGCGACCCGGGGACUUGGUCCUUCUCCUUGUAUUUUACUCUACUUAGCUUAUCUCUUUUACUUCUCCACACACCCGGCUCACCUAUAACCCUGAGCACUCCUUGCGCUAUAAAAGGAGAACCAGGGGCCCCAAUACAAGGAGGACUCUCAAGCCAACAGAACUCACACACUCACCUCUAGAGCAUCAGUGCACACCCAAGAGACUUGGGACCGGCUCCCUCUCUCGCCUGUUUGUAACCCCUACUAUAGACCCCGUGUGGGCAACGCGAGUAGCUCCUCAUACUGGACGUAGGGCUUUCCUUGCUCGAACCAGUCAAACCCCGUGUCUUCCCACGCUACCAUCCGAAUCCUAACGCGCAUAAAAGAAAUUUACUAGCCGUAGUCUUGAUCCGCUAAUCUUUACAACGACACACCCAAUAGCAAUGUUACAUUCAAACACCCAUCAACAUCCGAAAUUUACGUGAGGUUGGAACAGGUCGCCGAGCUGCAAAAUAAGGGUCUUUACAAGACGAACAGGGACAGAGAUCAGCUAACUGCCGCAAUCGGAACCACGGAGCACUCUGGGCAUGUUCGAGGAUUGUCAUCAACAUUGCCCUGUUGUAAAGCAUUCCAGAACGACCAAGCAAGCUACAGGAAGAUGGACCGUUAUAAGAAAGACCUUAAGGAGAAGAUGAGAGAAAUCGCCAAGCAGGAGUUCAUGGAGUUCUUGGCAAGCCAGCAACUACAAACGAUAACCAACCCAACAGUAUCCAAUGCUCAAGGACGGGCAGAACCAACCCUGCAACUUGCCCACACAAGAUUUGUUGCUCCGAGUAGUGCUGGAUCCAUUACAAAUCUGAGGUGUCCCGUUGAUGACAUACAAGUGAAUACACCAUGCAGGUUGGUGAUACCUUAUGGAAGGAAACAAAAUAAGUUUUGAGAGGUCGCAACUGGCAUGGCAGUAACAGGUCAUGUGUUCCCAAAGAAACCCCCGCCAAAAUAUGCCUCGAUGCAAGUUGUUACAAUGUUGGAUGAGUUGUGCGAGCUUGACAUCCCUACUGAUGAGGGGAUUGAGGUUCUUGGUGAUGCGAUGAACCAGUAAAUAUUGUGGCAUCGCCAAGAUAUCAUUCUGAAUAAUGCAUCACCAGAAACCUCAUGGCCGAGCCAAGAUGUACCCAUACUAUAGUCAAAAGUUGACAUGGAGCAGUCGAUGAAGUCACAUGUGCAGGGAGCUACCAAUGAGGUUGAGUAGCCGACGCAGCCACAUGUGCAUGGAGCUACCAAUGAGGACGAGUAUCCAAAUGCUAUCACCUAUUGUAGAAGGUCUCACUGAGGAGGAAUGGACAUCACUACUUGAAGGCAAUGAAUGAGUAGAUGAUUUACCAUUUAUUGAUCCAAUAUGGCCUUCACCACCAUCUCCACCUCCCCAAAGGCUAGCGGUACCUCGUAUGGUCAGCAUAUAUGAUCAUAAGGCUCCAUCAACCAAAGUUUACAAGUUCUUAAACGUAUUGAAGAAGAAGGCUUCAUCUUCCGUUGAGAAAUCUGUAGCUUGUGGCACCUCUCGGCAAAAGGUAAUAGAUGAAAACCUCAAUUUCUUUGCGUCAAAUGAACUCCCAUAGAAUUAUGAGCAUGGCAAACCAUUCUUGUAUCGGUGGGAUCUGCUGGAGGGCCCAUGGAAACUGAAUAAGCUACAUGGAUGGGUCAUGACCCCAAUGAAGCAAGGCAUUCGAGCAAUCACUGCGCGUGUCCCAAAAAAGGUUUUCCUUGGUGUUCUCGAUUACGAGAUUGUGAUCGAUUUCGAGAAUUUGCAUAGACUUUACCGUCAUCAACACCUCGACGCGAAUCUCAUUACCGUAUGGUGCUUGUAAGUCCACAUGUACUGCAUACACGAGUUUUCCAUACAUACAUAUAUAUUUUAUAUGUCAAAUACCUGAGCGACUACCUAUUCUGUAGGAUGCAAUGGAAUGAGGAAGAAUUGACAAACAACAGGUUCAAGGUAGCGUACCUUGACCCAGCAUGAAUUAGCGAAUUGAUGCACAGGUUCAAAUUGACAGAAAUGGUCAAAGCACAAAUGGAAGCAGCAGACCACAAGCGGAGAAAAAUGCUAUAAAAGCAAAAUCCCACAUAGAUGAAAUGCACAAAGUGUCCGUCUACAUUGCAAGAGUGAUGAGGAAAAAGGCUGACAAGGAUUAUAUCAUGGCAGCUGACAAUUUUCGGUAAGCUAGCUAGUUUUAAUUACUAUUUGUAUACUUGGUGCUAUUUAAUACUGUCUAUAAUAUAAAUUAUUCUAAUAUAAUGCAGAGAUCACUGAAUUUGCAUCAUUAUUAUAGCCAAACAUGGAGAAGCAAUGGUCCUCGACUCAGCCAAAUUUAGCAAAGAUAGUUACAAGGAAUUCAUAGGUAUUAUACAAAAGUAGGAUAUUCCUUGGCAAUACUGAAAUGCAUGUUGAGAUUCUAUGCACCUAAGUUGUAUUACUAACUCUUGUCUUUAUAUCCUCAAAGUGCAUACAAGUUUUACGUAAAGAAAGGCGGGGAGUGCCCUGAAAACACAUGAAGAAAGAUAUGAAAAUAAUAUAUCAUAGAUUUGUAAGAACAUAAAAUCUUGGUUUCUUUUCAUAUAAUGUAGACUUGUGAUUAAUAAUAACUCAUCAUUGUUUUAUUUGAUUGCAGUACCAGAAGCAACCUAACGGUACUGCGCUAUGCAGAUAUUACGUGUGCGAGUUCCUCAGAAAGAAUGGGAGGUACCGGACGAACCUUGAAGAUAUAAGUCUCUUAUACACUGCCAUGUGCUAACUUUCUAAUGGUUAUACAUCCUAAUCUUCAUUUAUUGUAUACCUACAGAUGCCUAGCAUCCCGAAUCACCAAUAGUCGCUCGUAGAAGGUCAAAUCAACAACAUUUUUAGGGACAUGGCGAGGUUCAUCCAACUCGAGAUUUGUCAUGAGGAUGGAGCAUUCUUUGAUCCAAAUGCCGUGUUGAUGCCAGACGAAUGCAAAGGUCUUCGUAGAUGGAUGAAGUAGUUUUAAUAUUAACGUGGCAAAAAAUAGCUCUAUUCCAAAUGUUGAAUUGUGUGAAUUAUUUAUUAUUCAAGUUUGUUGAAUAAUGUGAAUUAUCUAUUAUGUACGAUACAGUUUUUAAUAAUGUGAAUUAUUUAUUAUUUAAGUAUGUUGUUAUGUGGUUGGAGAUACAUAUUUAAAUUUGGCGGCUAAAAACUGAUGGGAAAUAAAAAUUAUAAAUAAAUCACAGGAAAUAAAAUAUAUAUAUAGGAUGUGAAAAUACAUAUUCCUACCUGGCAUAACCACCCGCCAGCACAGAAACCAUCUGUGCUGGCGGGUUAUGUAAGCCUAUGUGCUGGCGGGUGGCUAACGUCGCCCACCAGCACAAGCACAGAGCAGUCUGUAUCGGCUGGCGGGCACCCGCCAGCACUGACGUCAUUUGUGAUGGCUCAAGGUUGCUGGUGGGCGCUCGGCCCGCUAGCACAGAGCCCUUUUAGGCACCAGCACAAACCUUUUGUGGCCUGCUGAAAAUCCAACCGUGGGCUCCUUGGCUGCUUAUGAAGUUACAGCUUCUAAUCAUGGCCAGAGACGAGACGGGACUUAAAAUUGAUGCCAUAUCAACCAACAACCGGAGGCAAGAGAAGUCGAGAGGCCAUCAUUGGCAUCCGUUUACAUGUCCUCAUAUCACUUUGAUGCAUGCAUAUGCUACCCCAUCUGCAAAAACCCCAACGUGUGGGUGUGCAAGAAUUGCACCGUGUGGUGUCGUUUCCUGUUUCUUAGUUUGAAAAUUUAAUCAUAGAGCUCAAGGAUCAGAGCUCUAUCACAAAGGCGGUGUCAAGAAAGCAGGACCAUCAUCAACGCACUCACCAAUCCUGAUGAGAUCACUUUGGUGGCUUCACUUCACAGAUAUCCUAAAUUUUAACCACCUUAUGCUGUCGAUCAACAGGGUCAAUGAAUCCACGGCAUUGCCAUGUUCAUCCCCACUUCAUAAAAUCGUCGUUGUCUGCAGGUUCAAGCCCUUCAACCCUAUGAUUAUAUUUGGGGCCGAGGACCGGAAUGUCCAUAAAAUGGUGCUGGCAUCUGAAGCGUCAGAUGCGUGUAGGCUGUAUAGGGUUUAACGCCAUUAACCGGUUCACAUUUGAUCAAGGAGAUUUGCAUAUAGCCUGUAUUGAGCGCAACAACAAUGUUGAGGUCGUUUUCUAGUGCGUAAAUAUUCUACGUUGGUUCUGAUUAUAUUUACACAAGAAGAGGAGGAUGCUACUCAGCACGGGGACAAACUGCAACGACCGGACCAAGAGGAUCAGUCUAAGAAGCUGCCAAAAUCGAACUUGCAAUGCAAGUUCAGAAAUCUCUGGUGACAGUUCGGUCAGCCACAAAGAAUCAACCAUAACUCUUUAUUCCCAAAGGCUCUCGAGGCCCAUUACUACUCUAUGGAAACCUUAUAGAGUCUACUAGUUUCUAAUGCAACAAAUGGGUUGUGAUAUGGAACUCCAAAUAAAGAGUUAUGAGUGAUUUAGUGGAGAUUUGGCAAAUCCCAAUAGCCACAUGAGGCUCCUCGGAAUUUAAGUUUGCGGUGACCUUUGAGCUAGUAUAACUCAAAAAGCUCCAAGGUCCACUAGGAAGGUUGUUCCUUGUAUAAAUAUUCUUAUCUCUAAGCUAUUUGAUAAGAUUUUGAUAGUCCAAUACAACCUUUUUAGUUUUGGAGUGUGAUAAAAAAAAUUCCAGAGAGUGUUUCUCUACCCUUUUGCACUUCUAUUUUUCUUGAGCGAUAACAAAAGUAUGUGUCCUCUUCAUCGGCUCCCAAUUGGUGAUCCUGGUCCAUUUGAUUCAAGGUUGUGUUGGUUGGUUCUUUGAGAGUAUGGUUAGGCGAACGUUUGAUUCAAGUUGUCGAUUAAAUAUGGUGGUUUGCUUUAAGUUUAAUUUGCCAGGUUGAAGUAAUUAUUGCUAUCUGCAACAAGUUAUAACUUGGCUUUUGUACAGCUAAUUAUCUUAUCCAAAAUCCUACAUCAUGAAGAUCAUGACCGAUUCUCAUCAUGGAAUCAGCGGGUGCCAUGGUGAACAAAUUUGAACAUGUAUUUUCGAACAAAUUCAUAAGUCGUCAUAUAAACAUGUAUUUAGAAAAUAUGACCAUCUAGCCAGUCCAAAGGUACAACAAGAGAAGGUAAUGUUGCUUACGCAUCCAUGUUUACCUUCAUCAUUAUGUUACUGAUUGUGGCCUCAUAUCAUUUUAAAAUUUCUAAGAAUGCACCUUCAAUUUAUUUUUCUUCAAACGCCACCGAUUGUUGUCUUUGUUCAUCAUUUUCUAAGUGGUCGAGGUUGUUAUACUCAAAUAGAAACAUUUCCUAGAGGGGCCAAAACCCUAGCCUAUUGAAGAAAUUUCUAGAGGGCAGCUAUAUGGUCAUUGGCAAUAAAAAAAUACUCGAGAAUCCUGGAAGAUAUUCUGUGUAGAUGUAGCUGUAAAUCCCUCUCAUCUUCUACUUGCUUAGAUGAUGCAAUGUUCAGCUUAGGAGACAAGCUGCUAGAAGACAUUGAACGCUAGAAAAUCUCCGAGAUUCCCGAGUGUUUUCUUUUCAAUUAGUUGUUGUCUAUUACCACGAGUCCUGAAGUGGCCUUGGCAUUACUGUUCACCGUUGGUCAUGGUCCAAUAAUUCAGCCGGUGGCAAAAACGAACUUUUGUCUACUCCUUCAGUACCGGUUCAAAUUUAGAACCCCCAGAGACUUUUUAGUACCAGGUCAUAACACCACCCGGUACUAAAGGCCUCUUCUUUAGUACCGGGUGUUAUGACCUGGUAUCAAAAAGUUUAGAACUUUUACUACCGGGUCAUAACACCACUUCAAAAGGAAAGCAUAUAUUUUGAAAGCAUAUAUACCUCCAUCACAUGUGCUGCAUAGGUGGGAUGGCAACGAAAGGUCACGCAAGGUUUGAGGUCGUGGGCUUGAAUCCCACAAACCGCGCACGACGCGAGGCUUUCUUUUUUGGCGCAAAACAAGUUAGUAGAACUAAAGGGCCUAAAGUACGGGCGGAAUCUCCAGUAGUGUUACAUGUGCUCGCUCAGCUCAGUCUCUCUACUAUCUUGAUGCUCAUGCAAUGCAAUGCACUAGUAGCUGAAGAACUGAGCAAUGCAUCCCGUUCAGAUUCAUUGCACGAGGACCAAGCACCCUCUGGACAUCGAUCCUUCUCUUUUUUUUUUUUGACGUCUAUUCCUUUGCGCGUGGUACACGCGUAGCAGGCUAGCAGCCAAGAACAGGAUCACGUUUUUUAGGCAUAUUCCUUUCCACGUGGUCCACGAGUAGCAGGGCUAGCAGCCAAGGGCAUGCAGGAUUACAGUGAGGCACGUAGAUCCAAUUAAUUCCACAAGGCGUUAAAGCUUGUCACUGUAUAUAUAUAAAUAUAUAUAUGUAGAGUAAAAAAUGGUACUAAUAGGAUUUUAACAGGUGCCAAACGCAUUGACACUGGGUCUCUAUUUAGAUUUGCCAGUUAGAGGCAACAGAGAGGAACCAACCACCGCAAGAUGUACUACGUUGAGCAAAGCAACAGAGAGGAAGAAAGAGGGGGAAUUCUCACCGGCGAGGACUCACUACUAGAGAAACCACUAUAAAUCCCAAAAAAUAUACCAGCUAAAACAAGACUCGAUACUAAUAUUAAUUACCAUUAGUAAUGGGUGUAACUUAAGCUGGUAUAAUUGUGGCGGAUGUAUGGGCUUGGGGCCAUUUGUACUGGUUGCUGGUACCAGCUGAUACUAAAGGGUACGGGUGAAUUCAUAAGGGAAACAUCUCUUAUUAAAAUCACCUCUUACUAAGAUCACAUUUGCUGUGUAGGUGAAUCGGUAAGAAAGCUACAUGCGAGACUUGAAUCAUACGCACUGUACCGGAGGCACACGCAUAAUUUGUGCAUGGCAUGGUCUACCAAUCGUAUCUGCCACAUGGGGUCAUGGGGUCCAUAAAAUGGAAGUAGACAUGGUUGUGUAUAUAUAGCAUUAUGUAUAUAUUAUCGAGGCUUGAUGGCUUGCUUUUAGGCGAGCCAUGAUAAGACUGAGAUUGCGGUAGCUGAUCUUGCGGACUUGGUGACGUUGGUGUUUCAAAUCGGGAUAAAAGGGUCCCCAACGAGGUGGCUGAAAGAGGACUAAAUCCCUCGAACCCUUUUAUCCCGGUUUGUAAUACCAACCGGGAUAAAAAGGGGUCUUUUAUCCCGGUUGGUGUUUCCAACCGGGAUAAAAAGGUCCCCCACGAGUUAAUACAAAAGGAUUGCAUCCCCUAUAUAGUCAAAUAUGCUGUGUAGGUGGGAUGACAAGGAAGCUACGCGCGAGGCUGGAGGUUGUGGGUUUGAAUCCCACGCAGCGCGCACGCGCAUAUUUCGCUUGACUUGUAACCGGGACUAAAGGCCAAUUUUCUACCAGUGCGUUUUCAAGCCGGCUAGCGUAUGAGAAUAUAUGUGGCGGUGUGGAAUGACAUCAGUACAUUUAACUUAACGUGCCGGUGUACAAAAGCACCGGUACGAUUACUUCACUAUUUGUGUCGGUUGUAUUCCGCACCGGUGCGAAAGGACAUAAUGCGCCUGUACACUUCCGCCCGGCACAUAUGAGCCCAAGCAAAUGACGGUCUCCGCGGUUGUGCCAUCCAGCAGUAGUCAUAAGAAAGAAAAACAUCUUUAGUUGCCUUACGUAAGGCAAUAAAUUAGAAAGGAAUUAACAUGCUCACGUCAGCAAUUAGCUUGAAUCUAGGAACCUUGGGUACGUGAGAUGAGAUCGGUAUGCUAGUCUUUUACAACUUAGAUGACUGCAUGUUUAGUUAAUCUUAUCUAGUUUGUUGGCUGGCUUAGAUGCCAUCAUAGUUUCUUGCCAUCGGGGCCUCGUUGUUGCUGGCACUGGCAGGCAGGGGAGGAUGUACCAGCGACGACCCAUAUCCAACCGCCCAUCUUACCUACUACUACGGAUUCCCUCGAACAGAACCCUUCUCUAUAUAUGCACACAGUCGGUAGCAACGGAAUGCACGCACAAGGAAAAGCACGUUACCACAUAGAACACAACUAGUUGUUAGCCAUGGACAAAAUUGGGUUUGUCAAUGGUGCCGGCGUCGACGAGGACUCGACUUGCUUGCACGCACAAACACUGGUCUACGCCUACAAUGUCAGCAUGGCCGUGAAGGCGGCUGUCAAGCUCGGCCUCAUCGACGCCCUCAGCGCCGCUGACGGCAACGGCCUGACCGCCGAGGAGCUAGCCAGCAAACUAGUCCAGGUGGAGGACAAGGCCGAGUCAGCUUCUCUGAUCGGCCGGAUCCUCAGGUUCCUGGCGUCCUUCGACGUCGUCAGGUGCUCGGCCGACAAAGCUCCUGACGGCACGGUGCUGUGGCGGUACUCGCCUGCACCGGCGUGCCGGUGGCUCACCACAAACAAUGGUGAGGGGUCCCUUGGCCCAAUGGCUGUGUUCGCCGUCGAUGAGGACAACUUCUCGUCCUGGUCCGUUCUAGUUUCAUACUAACAUUUACGAUAUGUUUUAUUAAUUAUAAUACAAGGAUGCAAUUGAGAACCUAACAAAAUAUAUGCAUCUCCCGAUCUUUAUGUUUUUCUACCCAUGAAGGCAUCACAUUGCGGAUGCAGUGGCCGGUGGUGGCAAGAAGACGCCGUUCGAGCUUGCCCAUGGGGGCACGCCGGCGUUCGAGUACUUUGGAAAGAACCGGCGUCUGAGCCUGCUGUUCGACCGAGCCAUGGCCCAGCAGUCACUGCUGGUGAUCAAGAAGCUGGUCGAGCAUCCCAAAGUGUUCGACGGCGUUGGGGUGCUCGUCGACGUUGGUGGGGGCACCGGUGAAACGCUAGCGUUGAUCAGAGACCGGUACAAGCACAUCAGGGGCAUAAACAUGGACCUAGCUCAUGUAGUCUCUGAGGCUCCGUCCCUUGAAGGUAGCCCCUCGUCUAUGUACAUGCUACUUCUUACUUGCAUUUGAUGACUAAAGGAAUUAGUAAGAUUCGGACGAUAAACUGAACAAAUAAUCCAGAAAAGAGUUUGUUUAUUUAAGCAAGAAUCAAAGUCGUUCAGAAAUUGUGGCUAAGACAGUGCAUGGGAUACAGUGGUGCGCAUCACGUUUUUUUAAUAAAAUUUCACAGGCGUGGAACAUGUAGCUGGAGAUAUGUUUGAAAGCGUACCAUCUGGAGAUGCAAUUUUGAUGAAGGUAAGUUUGAACAUAUACCGUUAAAUUUCACGAACUUUUCAUCCCAACCUACCAUGCGAAUAAAUAAACAAAAUACAAGAUUACACCUGACUAGUCCAUGUGUGUGUAGUGGAUGAUCCAUUUGCAGAGUGACGAGGAGUCCAUCUUGAUCCUGAAGAAUUGCCACCGUGCUCUCCCAGAUAACGGGAAGGUGAUCGUCAUUCAGAGCAUC